UAAUUAGAAAAUAAGUCAUAAUAGACAUGGCUGAGGAUGUCAUAUAGAAUGUAAUUAAUUGCUUAUUAUUUUAGUUAUCUUCUUCUUUCUCCAAUAUCCCAUCUCCAUAUUAUUUUGUUCUAUUUUAGAUCUUGGGUUAUAUAAUCGGUAUCAACACAAAUACCGGUUCCAACAAUUGGUAUUAGAGAAAAUGACACUUCCCAACAAUUAGUAUCAGAGCCGGAAAGUANUAUAUAUAUAUAUAUAUAUAUAUAUAUAUAUAUAUAUAUAUAUAUAUAUAUAUAUAUCAAUGUUUGAAAAGGGGCGCGCGCCCUAGCACCUAGGCGCAAGGCACGAGUCUCGGCAUCUCAAGGAGUGAGGCACGCACCUCAGACACGUCUCAAACACACCUCGUGAUAUUUACGUUUAAUGUGUCUAGAGUUUGGGUUUUCGAAUUUUGAAUUUCUUCAAUAUAUUCUAAAAUGUUAAGAAUUUUUCUAAAAAAAUUUUAAUUAAACGUUUUUUUUUCCUUUUUCUCUUGGUCGUUCUCUUUUCCACCCCCCAAUGGCAAUAAGUAGCAGCGACAAGAAACAAGAAGCAGCAGCAAGCACUUUUAAGUUGAAAGUUAAAAUAUAAUUUUUUUAUUUUUAGGCUGAGAAUAUUUAUGCAUGCGAUUUUUUUACUUUUUAUGGUUAUUUUGUUUUUGUAUAACUAUUUUAGAAGUUUUUAACAUAAAACAUUCAUUUAAAAUAGGCUUGAUAAGAGUGUUUUAUUUUUUAUUAGAUGUGAGCCUCACCUUCUUGAGGCGCAUGCCACGUAGUGCGCCUCACGCCUAGGCUCCAUAAGGCCUUUGUGCUUUUUUGCGUCUUACGCCUUUUCAAACACUGAUAUAUAUAUAUAUAUAUAUAUAUGGUGGGCUGGUAUGCUUCUGGAAGCACAGAGCCUUCCGUGCUUCCAAGUCGUUUUCGAUGUUGGGACUUUCGAAUCGACAAACGGCUCCGUUACACUUGAUCUAGAGUAUUUGAAGUACCUAGAAAAUAAAUUUUGUGAUUUUUCGAUAUCAUUUGCCUAGUGAUCGAAGGGACUCAAAAUCAAUAAUUUUAACGGCCGUAGUGAGUCGUUUGCAAGUUUAACGGUGUAGAAAUAUCCAAAUCACGUGAAAUUUUGAUAGAAAAUUCUCUAUACUAUAUAAAACAAGAUCAAUAACUUCGAUCUAAAAUUUUAAUGUCAUAUCAUCAUAUUUUGUAAGAUUUUUAUUUUCAGCCGUUGAUUUUGAACCCCUUCGAUCACUAGGCAAAUGAUAUCGAAAAAUCACAAAAUUUAUUUUCGGGGUAAUUCAAAUACUCUAGAUCAAAUCUAACGGAUCCGAUCGUCGAUUCGAAAGUCCUAACAUCGAAAACGACUUUAAAGCACGGAGCGCUCCGUGCUUCCAGAAGCAUACCAGACGCACUCAUAUAUAUAUAUAUAAUAUAUAUAUAUAUAUAUAUAUAUAUAUAUAUAUUAUAUAAUAUAAUAGGCUAGGCUACUAUCCAUUAAUAGGAUAGUAGCACUUGUCCUAUAAAAUGGUUCUUGAUGAUAGAAAUUCCGAAUCGAUGAUCGGAGCGUUGAAGUUAAUCUAGAGUAUUUGAAAUAUCUAGAAACUAAAUUUCAUAAUUUUAAAAAUUAUUUAUAUGGUGAUCAAAGUGUCGUAAAAUCGCAAUUUUUGACAGCUAUAUAAGCCGUUUGCUUGUUUAACGCGUGUAGAGCAAUCCAAAUUGCUUGAAUUUUUAUAGAAAAUUAUUUAUACUAUUAGAUAAUGUUUGAUAACUCUGAUUAUGAAUUGAGAAAGUCUAACCUCUAUUUUAAGAAGGCUAUUCUAUUAUAACCGUUCAUUUUUUCAACUCUUAAGAUGAACUUGAUAAUGAUUUUUAAAUAUUACAAAAUUAGUUUCUAAACAUUUCUAAUUGUGUAGAUCAAUUUCAACGGUGCCGAUUAUUAAUUUGAGUUCCGAUCAUACAAAACGACUUGAUAGGACAAGUCUCCUAUCCUACUAAUAGGAAAGUAGCCGACUAUAUAUAUAAUUAUAUAUAUAUAUAUAUAUAUAUAUAUAUAUAUAUAUAUAUACACACAAACCAGGCUAGAAUGCUAUUAAUAGCACCAAGUCAUUGGUGCUAUUAAGUUUUCGGCCCUUGGAUAAAGGGUUGUAGGUUAUGAUGAUAGUGGUCCCCUAGGGUUGAAUGGGUGGUUUGUCGAAUAGUAUGAUCUAACGGGUAGAAAUGAUCAAAGGGUAGAUUUAACGGCAGAAAACUUGGUGGCACCAACACCAAGUGCUUGGUGUUAUCGAUAGCAUUGUAGCCGGGCUCAUAUAUAUACAUGAUUUUAUCAAGAAUGAAAUAUUUCUACAUAUAUACAUAGACCUUAUGGGAGCUUUCUAAACAUGGUUUGAAAGCAACUCCAAAGGAUUUUUACAUAGUAUGUUUUGAAUUGUUUACUAUUUCAUCUUUUAUCUCACUUUCCUUGUCCUUAGAAAUAACUAUUUCAUCCUACAAAUAAAUCAAAAAGAAACAAAACCACAACACAACUCAUAUUUGACUCUGCCCUCUUUUCUUUUUAUUUUUCUUUUUUAUGGGCUUCACAUGUGAAAAACAAGGAUGGGAGGGUUAGAGAAUUUUUUUUUUUUUUUUUUUUUUUUUUUUUUUUUUUUUUUUUUUUUUUUUUUUUUUUUUUUUUUGUGGGGGGGGGGGAGGAGGGAAGAAUCCAUAACAUCAGCUGCUGACAAAAACCCAGGAGUUUUUUUCCCCCUCUUUUCUUAUGCAACCAACUUAAUGAAUUCAAGCAAAAAUGGUAUGAAUGUAUUUCUAUUUCUGAGACACAGAAAAAGAAUAAGCAAAUACAUACACACACACACACACAAUAGGAUAGGUGAAGGGAACACCUUGUCUCCUGAUGGGGAGAUGAGGAAACCAGAGGACAAGAAAGAGAAUAUGCCUCCAUUUCUGGUUGUAUUUCCAUAACCCUCUGCACCAGUGGAUGAAGAAGCUGCAUCCAUGUCCUCUCCUCCUUCUUCUUCUUCUUCUUCUUCUUCUUCUUCUUCUUCUUCUUUUCUCUCUCUCUCUCUCUCCCCCUCUCCCUCUCUCUCUUGUGGGAACUGUGCUGCUUCUUUUCGUUGGGUGUUAAGCUUUUGUGGGUUAAAAGGAACGGGGGGUUGUGGUCACCUGCGGUAAGGGGAGAAAUUUCUCCUGGAGAAAAGUACCAGAAUUAAAUUUUUAGGUUAUUUGCAUUUAUGUCCCUGCAAAUAUAGUUAAUUGCAAAUAUUAUCAUAUAAAGUUUAACUGUUAUAUAUUAUUUUUGUAAAAAUUCUAAUAUUUUCAAAUAUAUUUCUCAAAUCUGCUAUCGUUAUAGAACUGUUUAUAUUUUAAGUAAAAUGUCAAUUUUUUCAUCAUAAAUAUGUCAUUCCAAAAAGCACAACAGUAUAAUAUAAGAGGGGCAAAAAUAUCAAGUUAUCUUAUAAAUUAAUCAAGGUUAAGUAUUUAAUCUAUAGUUAAUUAAAGUUUUCUACCGGAUUCUAACGUCGGUGAUAUAUUUGAAAAUAUUAGGACUUUUGUAGAAACAACAUAUGAAAGUUGAACUUUAUAUGAAUAUAUUCGUAAUUUACUAUGUUUACAAAGACCUAUAUGAAAUUAACCCUAAAAUAUUAGGACUUUAAAACAUAUAGACACCUAUUUUUUCUCUUCUAAAUUUGGUAAUUAAUUAUGAGAAUUGAAGAAUAAAAUGAAUCUAGCUUUGAUUUUUUUUUUUUGUUUCUUUUUUAUAUGGUACGAAUAGAAGAAAUAAUUUUUUCUGCAUUUAAUGUUUUAUAAGAAAAGUGUUUUUAUAUUAUUAAAACCAACAUAUCAUCAACAUAAAAGUACAAUAUCUAAAAACUUACAACAAUAAUUUUAUCAUAAUAUUAUCGUAAUAUAUUGGCAAUCCGAGGAUAAAUUCAUAUAAUACUUGUAAUUAUAUCUAUGAACUAUUUUAAAAUUAUAUGCAGCGUAGACCUACUAUAUAUGCUAUCGAAAGUAUAAGUGAAUCGGUGCUUUCGACUUUUUGCCCCUUGGAUCAGAAAUUAUAGAAUUAAAAUGGUAAUGCUCUCCCUUAGAAUUGAGUGAUCCCUCUCAGGUUAAAUGGUCCCCUUAGGAUAAUAAUAUUCAUCCAAAUAUCAGAAAUGAUCAAACAGAUUGAUCUAAGGGCCAAAAUGUUAAAAACACUAGCUCCGUAAUACUUUCGAAAGUAUAAUAGCGCUACUCAUUAUAUAUAAUCAAUACCGACAUAUCCGUAAAGUAGAAAGAAAAUAUUGUUUUUUUUUGAGAGAGAUAGAUAGCACGCUACCCGCUUUGUUAUUUCUUAGCUGGAAAUGUGAAUCAAUUAGAAUUCGAACUUGGGUCUCGAGUACCAAUCACCAAAUUUUUUACCACUUGCUAUAGAAAUGGUCGGUGAAAAAAAAUAUUGUUGAAACAUAGAUAAACAAGUACUCAUAAUAAGGGGAUGAAAAGUGAGGUGGGGAGCAAAAUUUCCCUUGAUUUUCCUGUGGAAAAUAAAAUACUUUUCUCUCUACAAAUGGCAAAAUACAUGUUCACAUUUGCUAAGUAGAAAGCAAUGGGCACUAGGAUGUUUGUUGUACUAGGAUUCCAGCUGUGCUACUAGAAGGUUUCAGGAGAGAUUGAUGGGUGCUUUUGCUGCUUUCUUCAGUUUCAUAUUUACCAUUGAAAUUUCAACAAUUUACUUAUUUGCCACUAAAUACAAUAAUAAACUAAAUUAGGUGCAAAAUUCAAUCACAUAUAUAGCAUUUCUGUCUGCUUGUACACAUUCUUAGCGUCCGUUUGGUCUAAAUUCUUAAAAAAUAAUUUUUAUAAAAUUAAUUUUAAUUUAAAAUUUUAAUUUUUAUUAAAAAUUGUAGAGUGUUUGGCUCAGUUUAGAUAAAAAAAAAAAUGAAUUUUUCUGAAAUGUUUAUGUAAAAACUUGUUUGGCGAAAUUUUUCUAGCUUUUGGCAUAUAAUAAUUUUUUCCACAAAGCUUUAUUUUAAAAAAUUAAAAUUUUAAAUUUAAAAUCAAAAAUUAAAAUUUGAAUUCAAAUAUUAAAUAUUCAAAUUUGCACAAAAUUAUAAAUUUUGAUAUUUUAACAUAAAAUAUAAAUUUUAAAUUUGAAAUUUUAAAAUUUUAAAUCUAAAGUUACAAAUUUCAAAUUAAAAAAUCUAAAUUUAGAAUUUGAAAUUUAAAAUUUAAUAUUUAAAUUUUGAAUAUUAAAAAUUUAAAACUUUAUUUAAACUUUAAAAUUAAAAUUCAAAUUCAAAUUAAAUAUUUUAAAAUAUAAAAAUUUAAAAAUGUAAAAUUUUAAAAUUUUAAAAUAUUUAACUUUAGAAUUUGAAAUUUGUAAUUUGAAAAUUAUAACUUAUAAUUUAAAAUUUUAAAAUUUUUAAAUGUUAAAUUUUAAAUUCUACCUAUCUCUCAAAAAAAAAAACUCAAACAUUUAAUUUUAUCCUAAAUUUUAAAUUCAAAAUUUAAAAUUUUAAAUAUAAAAUUUGAGAUUUUAAAUUCAAAAUUUAAAAUUUUAAAUAUAAAAUUUGAGAUUUUAAAUUCAAAAUUUAAAAUUUUGAAUUUAAAAUUUGAGAUAAAAUUUAAAUUUGAAAUAUAAUAUUAAAUUAAAAUUUACAAUUUAAAAUUUCAAUUUUAAAAGUUUAAAUUUUAAUUUUAAAAUUUAAAAUUUCAAAAUUUAAAUAUAAAUUAUAAUUUAAAAUUUUAAAAUUCAAAUAUAAAUUUAUAAUUUAAAAUUAUAAUUUGAAUCAAAAAUCAAAAUAAAAAUUUAAUGUUUGAGUCUAAAAUCAUAAUCAAAUUUUAGGAAGCAGGUUUAGUUGCUUCUGAUUUUUUAUCUCGAAAAUCAAAAAACUGAUUUUAAAAAUUAGAAUCAGAUUUUAAAAACGACAUUGCAAAUUGCUCUAUUGAGCUGGAAAUCGCUUUUGGGCCCAAAAAUACUUUAGCUCUUUUUCUCUCUUCAGUUUAAUCAACUGUUUUUCAUCAAAAUUUAUUUAAAUUUUUAUGGAUCUUAGAAUUGGAAGAUGUAAUAUUUAUAAAUGUAUAGAUAUGCAGGUAGCAUUUUUCUUAAUCAAAUGUAGAGCACAAUUAAAAUUUUAACUAUAUAAUAAAUUUGGACUAUAGAGUCUUAGGAGAAAAAAAAAAUCAAAUAAAUCUCGCUGGUCAAAACCGCAAAGUACAAUUUAUAAUUUAGAAUAAAUUUAAAUUGAUUGUAGAAUUUCUUAGCUUAAUUAAAUUACGUAACUUGGUGUAAUACUAUUGUGAACAACACAAUUUUAAAUUAAUCUAUUAUAAAAACUAUAACAAAAAAAUAAUAUUAACACAAGUGAGUAUAUCCACGCAUUGCAGCAAAUCAAUUAUGCAUAAGCAAAAAAAUAAAAGAAGCUGAAGAAAGAAGAAAUGGGAAAAGCAUAAGAAAAAUAAAAGAAAAGGCAAAAGAAUAAAAAAAUAAAAAAGUAGAAGAUGCUAAAGAAGAAGCGGAGCAUAAAAAGAAUAAAAGAAUAAAGAAAUAAAAACUACAAAAAUAAUUUAUUAUGUUUAUAGCAACAACAAAUAUAUAAAAAAGAAUAAAAUAAGAAGCUAAGAAAGAAAAACUGGUUGGAGCAACAGAAGAUAAAAAAAAAAAAAAAUGUUAUGCGUAUCGAUUGCAAAAGUAAAUUUUAAAUAUUAUAUUUCAAAUUUUAUUAUAAAAACUUAAAUUAUGUAAUUUUUUUAAAAAAAAUUGCCAAAUCAACCAAGGAGAGUGGAUUUUCAAAAAUCCGAAUCCGAACCCGACUUCCAACCCGAGACCCGAACCCGACGGAUUUUAAAAAUCUAUAUCCAAACUCGAACCCGACCAAAAAUCCGAAACCCGAACCCGAAUCCGGACCCGAAAAUUUGAACCCGAAAUAAUUAUUUCUUUUCAAUAUUUCAAAAUAUAUUAUAUUAAAUCUAAAUUUUUAAAAUACAAAUUCAAAUAUAACAUCAAAUAUAUAUAUAUAUAUAUAUAUAUAUAUAAAAUACAAAAUAAAUUCGGGUUCGAGUUGGGUACUGUCAAAAUCCAUAUUCGUCGGAUUUCCAUUUUUGAUAUCCAUUUUCGAAUUCAUAUCCAUUUAGCGUCAGAUAUAUCCGUUUCAUUGGGAUUCGACUUCUGAUAAAAUUUUAGGCAUCCAUACCCAUUGACAUCCCUAUGGGAGCCAAAGGAAAUUAAAAAAAAAAAAAGUCCGCUUGUUUAAAUCAGCUUGAUGGCUCCACAUUGAUUUAAACUGGGUUUUUAUAUAUGUAUGUAUAAUAAUAUAGAUACAGAUAUUCAUUUUUAUUAGAAAAAACUUCAAAAAACUCUCUUGUGGUUUCAAUUUUUUUCACGUUAGUAUCCCGUGGUUUAAAAUGUAUCAAGUUAGUACCCUAUGGUUUCGCACUUUAUUACUUUAGUACUCUGUGGUUUAAAGUGUAUCAAGUUAGUACCCUAUCGUUUUGCACUUUAUCACUUUAGUACCCUGUGGUUUUAAUUUUGUAUCAGAUUAGUACCCUGUAGUUUUUAAAUCACAGGAUACUAAAGUGAUAAACUGUGAAACCACAUGGUACUAAAGUGAUAAAGUGAGAAACCAUAUGGUACUAACUUGAUACACUUUAAACCACACGGUACUAAAGUGAUAAAGUGAGAAAUUACAGAGUACUAAUUUGAUACACUUUAAAUUAUAAGAUACUUAAAUGAAAAAAUGUAAAACCACAUGAGGUUUUUUUCGAAGUUUUUCCUUUUUAUUAAGUUGAUGGUUCCUUACGCACUAUUUUAAUACAUAUCAAAUACUUUCAUUGAUAAAUCCACCUGACAAAAUAAUAUUAAAAAAUUAGCUUCUAUAUAUAUAUAUAUAUUAUUUUUUUUUAAAUUGAUUACUUUUUCAUAUACGAGAUUGACUAAACACCAAAAGGUGAUGAUGUGGGAGGAUGUAAACAAUUCAUCAAUCAAUCUUAAAGAAACUUAGAAUGAUUUAUCGAUCUCUGUCUCUCAUAUUUCAAUUUGGGAAAUGAGAUAGCCCAAUCAUUUUAGUAUCAUGUAAUUUAGAGUGUAUAAAUUUAGUGUCCAAUAGUUUCAUAUUUAUCAUUUUAUUAUUGAUUUUACUAAUUUUUUAUUAAUUCAGUAAUAAAGUUAAAACUAAAGAAUAGUAAAGUGAAUAUUUGAUAAAGUUAGGUAGAAUAUCUGAAGUUUUUUGUAUAUAAUUUAACAAAAUUAAUGAAAAAGCCGACGAAAAGAUAAAAAUAAAACCAUAGGACACUAACUUGAUACACUUUAAACCACAGAGUACUAAGGUGAGAAAGUACGAAACCACAUGGGUGGUAUUUGAAGUUACCCUAAAUAAUUUUAUGCAAGGCUUGUUUUUGCUUUCGGUCCAUCAAAAAAAAAUUAUUUUCACAAAUGGCUUUAUCAAUUUUAUAAUUAUAAUUUUGAUAUUAUUCCCGUCACACAGGCUUCACAUAAGCGUUACCCGAGCAGGCUGAAAGGGGUGAAAUAAGUUAAACGCGGUAAUUCAUUCACCAUAUCUAGACACGGUAAAUAGUUUGUCGUGUCUAUUGUAUUAUGUUGGUUGACCGCAGGACAAUAUAAUUAUUGAACACAGUAAAUUAUUCACUGUAUUUGGAUACGAUAAAUAAUUUAUAGUAUUUAACUUAACACUGAACUCCAGUAUGCUUACGUAUAGCAUCUGCAUGGCGAGAACAGAACUUUGAAUUGUAAUUAUAAAAUUAGAGCUAUUUAUAAAAAUAAUUUUUUUUGGAGGACAAAAUUCUUUUUUUUUUUAAAAAGGCCCAACAUCGAACACGCACGCGCACACAAAAAAAAUACAAACGAAACACGCACACAAUUCAUAUCUGAACGCAACAGCUCUGCUCUGUAAUUCUCCCCUUUCGUUUUCCGCGCAAUAAAGAGGAAACAAACACGCACACAAUUCAUCUCUUUUUCUUUUUUUUUUUAUUUUUUUCGGGUCAAAAAUGUGAGGCCCCUCAAUAUUGAACUUUUUGAUUGCGAUUUCUCAACUAUCAAUUUCUUAAAAUUAAGAUAAUCUUAUCCAAAAACUAGUCGGAAUUUUCAUUUUUAGCGAUUUUAGUUAUUUUUCAGCAGAUAAAACUAAAAUAAUUAACAAUUAAUAAAAUAGGAUUAUAAAUUUUAAUAAAAUUUUCCAACAGACCUGUAGCUGAGAAAAAAGUCUUUAGGAUAAAAUAGUAAUUUCUUAAAAUAAAUUUUUUAUUGUAUUUAUGUGUAAUGUGGGAAUCUUCGGUUGAAUAUUAUUAUUUUCAUAUAAAAUAACUUUGAGGGAAGAGAUUUUUACAUAAACAUACUGUUAUUUAUUUUUUUAUUUUACUGCAAGGAACUAUCAUCUGCCAAAUAGAAAAAGUAAUAUUUUUUUUGUAAACCACAAGUAAAUAUAAUAUAAUACUUUGUGGUCCAACUACAUAUAUGCUAUUUUAAAAAAAAUAAAAAUAAAAUCAAAACUGCAAAAUAAUUUAACUUAAUCCACCUUGGACAAAUUGGAGUCUACUCUUUUUAUUAUGCAAUUUCCCCCUGUUCACAUUUCAUCUCAAAACGCAAGGUCUCUUUUUACAUUUAGCCCCCUCAAUUUUUUUUUUUUUUUUUUAUAAAUGGAUCUAUCAAAUUUAUAUUUACAUACAUGGUCCUCUUUUUACUAUACAAGCACUGCAUUGAUAAUUUUAAGUUGAACAAAAUAAUUAAAUCACCGUGUUAUCACCGUACUCAUAUUCACAAUUUAAUUCCUUUUUUACUUGGGAACAAUACUGUGAUCCAAUCACCGUAUUUAAUUUAAAGACGCCAUCUACGCGCUUACGUGCAAAUAUAAAUUCGUUAGAAUUAUUGAGUUUGGCUAUAGUGCUUGUAAAAGCACCAAACACUUGAUACUUGUAAAUUUUCUACCAUUAGAUCUACGUUUUUUAUUAUUUUCACCCGUUAAAUUAUACUAUUCAACCAAUCAUACACUCAAUGCUAGGGGCCCACAUCAUUCUAAUCGUACAUCCCUUAAUCCAAGGAUCGAAAGCUUACAAAUAUCAACGACUUAAUACUUUUAAAAAUAUGGAAGCUCAAUUCAGAAUAAUUAUAAAAAGAAUUUGAGGAUGUUAAAUACCAAAAAAAAAAAGAAAGCUCAAAACGCAACUUAUCACUAAUAGUAGUUUUUUAUUUUUUUCCCUUUCUUUGAGGUAAUUAAAACUCGCUUUAAUUUGGAAAAAAAAAGAAAAAACUUUAGUAAUAGGGAGUUCUGCAACGACACCUGAAGUAGAGACUUCUAUCUCCAUUUAAUAAAAUAAUAAUAAAAAAAAUUUGGCAUUAAAGGGAGCUAACCACCGAAGUUUCAUCUUUUUCCAAUUGAGCAGCCGAAAAGGGCAAAAGCGAAAGGCGAGAGGCGCUUUUUCCCCUUUUUCUUUUUUUUUUUUCUUUUUUUGCUUUCUGGUGCAGAACUCUUCUUUUAAUUGUUGCUGCUGUUGAUUGAUACGUCGGCGUGAAAGAAUGGCGAAAAGGGAGGGUGGGGCGAAGAAGCCACGCGGAGGGCAGCAGGACCGAUGGUGAGUAGCCGGUGGGGGCCCGCCAUAUCCAGAGGAGGGCCAGCGGGGAGGGGGUGGGGGGGGGGGAGGAGGAGACGGGUCUAAGUAGGUGCUGCUGCCGGCGGACACGUGCCCUUGCUUACUCGCGGUAGGUUCGUGUCGCCCUCCAAUCCCCUAGCUCAGUACCAAGUCCAACUAGCUUGCUUUCCCCCUCGCCCUCUUCUUCCAAAAGAUUCCUUUCGGCCACAUUUAUAAUUAAGGACAAUUUUAAAUACCAUUACUGUGUGAUUUAGUAUUUUUUUUAUUUUAGUAUUCUAUAAUUUGAGUCCGGCUACUAUACGAUAGUAACAAGUUUUUGAUAUUAUUAAGUUUUCUACCAUUAGAUUUACUUUUGAUCAUUUCCACUCGUUAGAUUAUACUAUUAAACCAACCACCCACUCAACCCUAGGGGACUACUAUCAAUUUAACCGGAAAUCACUAUCAUCCUAACCGCACAUCUAUUCAUCCAACGGCCGAAAACUCAAUAGUACCAAGGGCUUAGUACUAUUGAUAGUAUAGUAGCAUAAUUUCUAUAAUUUAAAGUAUAUUAUUUUUUUAUUCUGUGAUUUUAUUUUUUCUCUUUUUGUUAUCUCUUUCACUAUUUUUUUUUUUGUUAAAUCAAUGAUAAAGUUAGAACUAAAAGGUACUAAAGUGAAUAUUCGAUAAACUAUAGAUGGGGUAUCUGAAAAUUUUUGUAUAUGAUUUAACGAAAAGUUAACGGACGGAUUGACGAAAAGAGAAAAAUAAAACCAUAUGGUACUAAAUUGAUAUAUUUUAAACCAUAGGGUACUAGAGUCAGAAAGUGCGAAACCACAGGGAUGGGUAAACUUCAAAUAGCAUCUUUCGCACUUUCUCACUUUCGUAUCCUAGCUACCGUUUGGUUCGGGGUUAAGGAAAAACUAGUUAUUCCAGGGAUAGGGUUAAGUUCAGGUUUAAGGUGGGGUUAGGGUAUUUUUGUGUUUGGUCGAGAAUUGGAGCUAGUUCGGGAUUAAAGAAAAUAGUGUUUGGUUGGAGUAGGUGGGUAAGAAGGAUAGUGGGUAAAAUAGCGUUUUGUUUAGUUGGAGUAGUGGUGUGGGGUGUGGUUAGCUGCGGUUAGCUAACCCCACUCCAAAUGGGCUAUUCCGGGUUAGCCCAUUUGGGGUGGUUGAGGUGGAGUUAGCUAACCCCACCCCUCUAAAAUCAAUGUUUGGGAAUAAAACCGGGGUUAAGGGGUUUUCCCACCCCUUAACCCCAAACCAAACACAAGCCUAUAGUUUUUUUUUUUUUUUUUUUCGUGAGCUUCUAUGUUAAUAUUUCAUUAAAUUAUAUGUAAAAAAACUUCAGAAACCCCGCCUAGAUUUAUUGAAUAUUUAUUUUAGUAUCUUUUAGUUUUAACUUUGUUACUGAUUUAAUGAAAAAAUUAGUGGUGGGGAUAGUAAAAAGAGAAAAAUAAAACCACGAGUUAGUAAAUUGAUACGCUUUAAAACACAACGUACUAAAAUAAAAAAUGUGAAACCACAAGAAUAGUAUUUGAAGUUUUCCCUAAUUAUAAUAUGAGUACAGCUACUAUUCAUUUAAGAAUACGAAGUCGUUUUAGAUGAUAAGAAUCCCAAAUCGAUAAUUAGAACCGUUAGAGUUGAUCUAGAGUAUUUAUAAUGUUUAGAAACUAAAUUUCAUACAUUUUAAAUUCAUUAUCAAACUCAUUGAAAAGUUGCAAAAUAAACGAUUAAAAAUAAAUAACUUUGUGAAAAUAGAUGUUAGACUUCUUUAGUUUAUGAUCGGAAUUAUCAAACAUUAUUUAAAUAGUAUAAAGAAUUUUCUAUCAAAAAUUCAACCUGUUUAGAUUGUUCUACGCUGUUAGACAAGCAAACGGCUCAUAUAAGCCACCAAGAACUGUCGACUUUGUGAUCCUUUGAUCACUACGUAAAUAAUUUUCAAAAAUUCAUGAAAUUUAAUUUCUAGACAUUUUAAAUACAUUCUAGAUCAACAUUCUAGAUUAACUUUAACGAUUCUGAUCAUCGAUUCGAAAUCCUUAUCACCUAAAAUGAUUUAGGAGGACGAAGGCUUCCGUCCUUCUAAAAAAAUAGUAGCUGGAUUCAUUAUAAUAUAUAUUAGAUUCUAAUGAUCAAAGUAUAAUUUUAAGGAAUAAUUAUUUAUAGAGUAGAACUACUAGGCUUUUAGAAGUAUUAAAAAGUUAGUGCUUCCGACUAUUUAACUCUUGGAUCAACUUUUUUUUGACUAUUUCUAAUCUUUUGAUUAAUAUUAUUCUUCCGUGGAAACAUCUCAAUCCUGGAGAAACCACUCAACUUUAGAAGGGACCACUAUCAUCCCAACCGUAUAAUAUUCUUGAUCCAAUGGCUAAAAAGUCAAAAGCACUCACUCUUUUAUGUUUCCGAAAGUAUGGUAGCUCUAUGCAUUAUCUAUAUAUCUUUUAAAACUUUUGAAAUAUUAUAUAUUAUUAUUAUUUUUUUAUCUUAAAUAUGCAUCUCGUUUAUUUUUUCUGUUAUUUAAAAAUAGUUUCGCUGUUAGUAUCCAUUAAGUCAUUUCGAAUUAAAUCUGAGAUAAGUUUUUUAUCCCCACUUAGGGCGUGUUUGGUUCACUUCUUUUUCACCUGGGAAUUGGAAUCGGAAUGACGAAUCCGUUUGUGGGUGUUUGGUACGCAGGAGUCCCAUUCUGAUUCCGAUUUUUGAGUGGAAUGGGAAUCCUCCAAUCAUUGAAAGUUCAAUCCGGACGAAAUAGAUAUUUAUUUGGAUUAAAUUUAUUUUUUUCAACUUUUUAAUUAAAAUAUAAGUUUAAAUUUAGAAAUUAAAUAUAUAAUUUUAAUUUUUAAUUUGAACUUGAAUUAAAAAUUAAAACUUCAUCAAGUAUUUCGAAUCUAACUGUGAGACCCCAGAUAGUCAUAUAUAUGAGAUAUAAUAGGGCUAAACUCUUAACCUGGCUUAAGCAUUUUGGGUGGUGGUAAGGCCCAAGAGGUUAAGAGAGUUAAGCGUGCUAGGACGGGAGUAGUCCUAGGAUGGGCGACCCCCUGGGAAGUUGGGGCGUCACAGAUGGUAUCAGAGCCAAUUACCAGCCGGAAGUGUGAGAUUAGUCUUGGCUGAGCCAGUGUCUGGAUGACGGGUUAGUGAGAUGAGUCUCACAUCGCCUGGUACUUGUGAGUCUGAGCCUGACGAGGACGUCAGGGCUUAAAGGAGAGGAGAUUGUGAAACCCCAGAUAGUCCUAUAUAUGAGAUAUAAUAGGGCUAAACUCUUAAUCCGACUUAAGCAUUUUGGGUGGUGGCUAGACCCAAGAGGUUAAGAGAGUUAAGUGUGUAGGACGGGAGUAGUCCUAGGAUGGGUGACGCCCUGGGAAGUCGGGACGUCACAUAACUUAUGAAUUUGAAUUUAAAUUAAAUUUUAAUUUACAUAAAAUUUUAUUUAAAACUUAAAUUAAAUUUAUGGAUUCAAAUUAAAAUUUAAAUUGUAAUUUUAAUUUUGAAUUUGAAUAAAUCGAAAUUUAGUUUUAUAUUUUAAAUUAUCCACUCAACUUCAAAGUUUAAUUUUUAAAAAAAAAAUAUAUUUAAAAUUUUGACAUUAUUUCAAAAUUUUGAUGUAAAUUUUUAAUAUUUAAUUUUCAAAUUGAAUUUAAAUUAAUAUAUUAUAAAGAUAAAGUUAGUAUAUUAAUUUGAUUACGUUUUUUAUAUCUACCUGAACUAAAUACCGACAAUGGGAAUGAUUUAUUCAGAUUUCGAUUUAGGUGAUGAAUCAAACAAAAUUAGGUAACGCAUCAUUCCAAUUCUGAUUCCAGUUUAUUCCAAUUCCGAUUCUGAUUCUGAUUCCGACUUCGAAUCAAACACGCCCUUAAAUGCAAAUAAGAAAAAUUGAUAAAGGUAAAAGGAUAUAUUUGAAAGGGUAAAAAGUCAAAAUACUUUUUAUAUUCCCUAGUUUAAAGACAAAUAAGAAAAGUUGGUGACUAUAAAAAGAUACAUUUGAAAUGGUAAAAUAGUAAUUUUACAUAAAUAAAGGUUGUUACUAAUCGUUCACUAACUGAAUUUAACUCUAUGGACAUGUUUGGUUCGACGUUGGAAUUGGAAUCGGAAUCGAAAUAAGCUGAAAUCAGAAUCGGAAUAACUUAUUACCUAAUUUUGUUUGGUUUAUCACCUAAAUCGGAAUCAGAAUAAAUCAUUUCCAUUGUCCGUGUUUGGUUCAGAUAGAUAUAAAAAACACAAUCAAAUUAAUAUACUAACUUUAUCUUUAUAAUAUAUUAAUUUAAAUUCAAUUUAAAAAUUAAAUAUUAAAAAUUUACAUCAAAACUUAUGUGCUAUUAGAAGCACGGAGACCUUCAUGCUCUUAAACCGUUUUCGACGAUAGAGCUUCGGAAUCGACUAUUGGUUUCGUUAGACUUGAUUUAGUGUAUUUGAAAUAUCUAAAAAAUAAUUUUUGUCAUUUUUGGAUAUCAUUUAUCUAGCAAUCAAAAGGGUUCAAAAUCAACUGCUAAAAAUAAAAAUCUCAUAAAAAGUUGUGAUAUAGCACUAAAAUUUUUAAUCAGAGAUAUUGAUCUUACAGUAAAUAGUAUAAAAAAUUUUCUAUCAAAAGUUCAUUUGAUUUUAAUACUUCUAUGUCGUUAAACUUGCAAAUGAUAUAUAUCAAAUAUUAAAAAUUAUUGAUUUGGAACCCUUUCGAUCGUUAGGUAAAUGAUAUCGAAAAAUCACAAAAUUUAUUUUCUAUAUACUUUUAAUAAACUAAAUCAAAUAUAAUGGAGCCGAUUACUAAUUCGAAAUCUCCAUCAUCGAAAACGACUUAGGAGCACAGAAACAAGCACACAACACAAGACCUACUUACUAUGUAUAUAUAUAGAAGGAUAUACAAAAUAUAUUAUUUACCAAUCAUAUUAUGGCAAAUGAGAUGGAGAAGCGAAACAAUUAUGAUAAUUGUACAUUAAAAUAAUUUUUAUUUUUUUCUUAUACUUUUAUGCAAUGUUGUGACACCUCUCUCUCUCUCUCUCUCUCUCUCUCUCUCUCUCUCUCUCUCUAACUGCUGAGAUAAAGUGCCUUAGUAAUAAACUAUUCCAUAAACACUUUAUCCUUUUCUUUUAAAAUUACAAAGAAAAACUUUAUAUAAAAAUUAACAUAGGUCUCAUUAUUUAUUUAUGGAAAGUGAAUGCUCGCAAUAAAUUCUUAUUUUUCUUAUCCCUACUACUCAAAAUCAAAGGUUAGAUCAGGAAAAAGGUUUUGCACUCUAACCCUAUUAGCUAUCCAACCGGCGACUAAAUUACAUUAUCUAAAGUAAUGUUUAAACAAGAUUUCAUCAAAAUGAUUAUAAAAGAAUUGGAUGUCCAAAAAGAGAUGCCUUUUUUUACCAUGGUAUCUUCCCUUUCCUCAAGUCAAUUAUGUACUUCAAUUUAAAUAAUAUUCUAAGUAAUCAAAUCAUAAUUUUAGGCUUAAUAUAGAAGUGGUAUGUGAAUGAAAAAGUGAAACAGGUGAUAGGAAUCGAGUCUUUAUAAAAUAGUUUAUUAGUGUAUGUUUCAUAUGACUCCAACUCUCUCUCUCUCUUUCUCUAUCUCUAUCUCUCUCUCUCUUGUGUGAAAGGGGUUUCUUAACCACUUUUAAUUAUUUCAAUUAGAACUUCUUUCAGUGCAAUCUCUGUUGAGUUAGGUGGAAUUCGCCAUCUUAGUAAUAAUGUAGUAGAAAUAAUAUUCUUGAAAACUAAUUCUUACUAAUCAAAUAAUGAACAUUUUUUUUUUUUUCCUUUACAAUUGAUUUUAGAAACUAUGUAAUGUUUGGAUAUAAUACAAUUUGAAAAUUCAUUUGUUUAUACGUUCAAAAGAAAUAAAAAAACAAAAGAAAACUCCCUGUUCCAAUCAAAACAUAAACCUAUUCUCCAGCAUCAGCAAUUUCUGAUUAGCAAAUAGUUUGUGCUUAGUUGAAGAAGAUUUUUAGGGCGUGUUUAGAUGCAUGAAUAUCUUAGUCAAUAUAUUAUUUUAAAUUUUAUAAAUCUUGUUUAAAUUAGUGGAAUAAAUUAUUCAAUAAUAACUCUUUUUCUUAGAAAAUACUGAAAAACUAUUUACAAGAAAAAAAAAAAGUUCUUCAUGGAAAACACCCUUUCCAAAGUUUUGGUCUCCCGUAUAAAUAAUUUGGAAAAUAAAAAGACCUUUCAAUGAAAUAUGAACUUUCCACCAAAAAAAUCAUUUUCUGUGAUCUUUUGCAGAGAACCAAACACUCCCAGUAGGGUGGAAAUGAGCCGAGCUUGAGCAAGCUUACCUCAGCUUAAGCUUGACUUGAAAUUAACUUUGAGUCUAAAUUUAGGCUCAAGUUGGGCUUGAAAUUAAUUCGAGCCGAGCUCGAGCAAGCUUAACUUCGAGUCGAGCGAGCUUGAGUCCUAAACGAGCCACUUGAAAUUCUCAAUAUCACGCAAUCUAUAGCUUAAUUUUUAUAAAACAUUAUCUUUAAAACAAAAAAUAUCUAACAGUUCGACAUACAAAAUAAAUACAUGAAAUACAGUAUUAUAAUAUUAAAAAAUAUUAGGGAAAGCGACUCUGUGAGCAAGUGAAAAAGGGAGAGCAAUUAGAAUAGGAUUUUGCUGGUUUGGUUUUNCGGAGUCCGAUACGCACCAGAAGCCAACUCUACUCCGUGGCUUCCCCGAAAAACCGGAGUUACUAUUCACUUAAGUGAAAACUAAAAGUCGCGUAUCUUCUCCAUUUUAGCUCAUUUUCGCCCGAAACUUGACGAGUGCUUAUGUAAUUAAAUUACACACAUAAACAUCAUCAACAGAGAGUUUAGUUGCACUGUCAAAAAUCUCAGUCCUUACAUAUAUAGUCUGAAGCCUAUACUCUUAUGAGUAUAGACUUUUUUGUAUUCAUAUAUUUUCGGCUGUUAGAUCUAUCCCUUUAACCAUUUUCACUUAUUAGAUCAUAUUAUUCGAUCAACCACCCACUCAUCUCUAGAAGACCACUAUCAUCCUAAUCGAGAACCACUAUCAUCCUAACUGCCCAUUUUUUCAUCCAAUGAUCGAAAAUUUAUGAAUACAAAAGGAUAUUAGUGUACCUUUCAUAUGGCUUCAACACUCUCUCUCUCUCUCUCUCUCUCAUGAAAAGGGUUUCUUAACCACUUUUAAUUAUUUCAAUUAGAACUUCUUUCAGCGCAAUCUCUGUUGAGUUAGGUGGAAUUCGCCAUCUUAGUAAUAAUGUAGUAGAAAUAAUAUUCUUGAAAACUAAUUCUUACUAAUCAAAUAAUGAACCUUUUUUUUUUCCUUUACAAUUGAUUUUAGAAACUACGUAAUGUUUGGAUAUAAUACAAUUUGAAAAUUCAUUUUUUUAUAUGUUCAAAAGAAAUAAAAAACAAAAGAAAACUCCUUGUUCCAAUCAACACAUAACCCUAUUCUCCAGCAUAGCAACUUCUGUUUAGCAAAUUGUUUGUGCUUAGUUGAAUAAGAUUUUUAAGGCAUGUCUAGAUGGGGUCCGGCUACUAUACUAUUAUGAGUACGAUCGCCCUCGUACUCAUAAAUUGUUUUCGAUGAUAGAGCUUCCGAAUCGACGAUCCACACAGUUAAACGUUAUUUACAGCAUUUAAAAACUUCUAGAAAUCAAAUUUUAUAAUUUUUCGUCAUCAUUUACCUUACGAUCAAGAGGUCACAAAUUUGACAAUUUUUAACGGCCGGUAUGAGAUACUUGCUAGUUUAACGGUGUAAAAGAAUCGGAAUUUGUUGAAUUUUUGAUAGAAAAUUCUAUUCACUGCAUAGAUAAAGAUCAAUAACUCCGAUCUUGAAUUGAAAGAUCCGAUCAUCCUUUUUUAGAAUGUCGUUCGAUUUUGACCGUUCAUUUUAUACCCACUUAAUGGACUUUAUUAUGAUUUCGAAAAUUUACAAAAUUUAUUUUCUAGAAGUUUCAAAUACUCUAGAUCAUAUAUAACGGAGUGGAUCGUCGAUUCGGAAGCUCCAUCAUUGAAAACAACUUAUGAGUACGAGAGCUCCAAUACUCAUAAUAGUAUAGUAGCCAUGGCCGUCUAGAUGCAUGAAUAUCUUAGUCAAUAUAUUAUUUUAAAUUUUCAUAAAUGUCAUUUAAAUAAUGGAAUAAAUUAUUCAAUAAUAACUUUUUUUCUUAGAAAAUCAUGAAAAAUUAUUUACGAGAAAAGAAAAUAUUCUUCAUAGAAAACAUCCUUUCCAAAGUUUUGGCCCCACGGAUAAAUAAUUUGAAAAAUAAAAAAGACCUUUCAAUGAAAUAUGAAAAUUUCCUUUUUAGAAAAACUACUCUUUCUGGAAAUCUAGCGGACUAAAAAUAUUUUCCACCAAAAAAAUUAUUUUCUGUGAUUUUUGCGGAGAACCAAACACUCCCGAUAGGGGGUGGAAACGAGCUGAGCUUGAGCGAGCUUAUCUUAGCUCAAGUUUGGCUUGAAAUUAACUUCGAUCUAAAUUUAGACACAAGCCGGGCUUGAAAUUAAUUCGAGCCAAGCUCGAGCGAGCUUAACUUCGAGUCGAGCGAGCUCAAGUCCUAAAUAAGACCCUUGAAAUUCUCAAUAUCAUACAAUCUAUAGCUUAAUUUUUAUAAAAUAUUAUCUUUAAUACAAAAAAAUGUUUAAUAAUUCAACAUACAAAAUAAAUAUAUGAAAUACGAUAUUAUAAUAUUAAAAAAAAUUAGGAAAAGCGACUCUGCAAGCAAGUGAAAGAGAGAGAGCAAUUAUAGUAUAAUUUUACUAGGUUGGUUUUGUGGGCCAACAAAUAUGCCCAAUAACCUAAACUCUAUAUACAUAUAAUUAAAAUACAUAAUAUAUACUAUUAUAUAUAAUUAAAAUAUACAUUAUAUAUAAUUUUAUAUAUAGAGAGAGAGAUAGAGAUAAAAUUAGAUUACUAUACUAUUAUAGAGAUAAAAUUGGUGCUAUUAGAUUUGGAUAUGUGGCUGAUGAUAGUGGUUCCUAAUUAGGAUGAUAUUGGUCCUCGUGACUUGAGCGAGUGGUUGUUGAAUAGUAUGAUCUAACAGGUGAAAAGAGUCAAAGAAAGAGAUCUAAUGGAUAGUACUAUAGUAGCCGGACUCUCUCUCUCUCUAUAUAUAAAUAUAGAAUUGUGCUGGAAUACUAUUCAUAAUAUUUAAGCUUUUUUUACUACUAACUUUCUAACCCUCAGAUAAAAAAUUGCAAGGUUGGGAUAAUGGUGAUCUCUUAUUAGUGGUGAUCCCCUAGAGUUUGAGUGAGUGGUCGAUAGAUUUAGUAUACCAGUAAUACUCAUAUCACUAGGUGCACCAGAUUGUCUAUCUAUCUAUUAUAAACAAACUUUGAACAAAAAACUUCUCAAAUUAUAGCAUACCUAUGGAAUAUAUAUAACAUUAAAAAAUCCUAACAUAUAAAAAAUCAUGAAUUUUGGGCAGUUACUUUACAAACAUUAAAUAAAUGUCACUUGCAGUGUAUGGAUGAUCGAGUGCAUCAGGUGCAUAUAAAAUCUUUUUUUUUUAAUCUCUCUUCCUCCCACUUAAUGACAUGGUGAUUAUACGGUAAUAACUGAAAUAUCAUAUUAUCACCAUGAGAUCAUAUUGGUAUGUUGUGAUAAUAACUAAAAUAUCAUAUCACUACCAACAUCAGCGUUACUCCGUUAUUCAGUCAACUUAAUUGAACUGAAAGAUUUGAUUACAAUAAUUUAGAAAGUUUAGGUCAAAAAAUGCAGAAAAUAAGAGUUUGAAAAAUCAAGAUUUUUGCUUUCUAAGGCUUAGUUUGGUAUUGAGAUCUAUCUAACGCUAUUAGAUAAAAUAGAGUUGAGGAAAAAGCAUAUAGGGAUAUGCUUUUGCGUUCUCCAGUGGAACCGCAAAAAAUAUAUCGUAACCUAACUCAUCGCGAUAUGCGGAAUGCAAUAUUACGUACGAAAACAAACAGGAUAUUUUCCCAUCAAACAGGAUAUUUUCCCAUCGUCGUUUCUCAUCGCACGUAACGCAAUCUUCCCGCAAUCCCAAACGAAGCGUAAGGCUUAGUUUGGUAUUGAGGUCUAUCUAACGCUAUUAGAUAAAAUGGAGUUGAGGAAAAAGCAUAUAGAGAUAUGCUUCUACGUUCUCCAGUAGGACCACAGAAAAUAUAUCGUAACCAACUCAUCGCGAUAUGCGGAACGCAAUAUUACGUACGGAAACAAACAGGGUAUUUUUCCAUCGUCGUUUCUCACCGCACAUAACGCAAUCUCCCCGCAAUCCCAAACGAAGCCUAAGUUUGUCGCCUUUUCUGGCUUUUUCUCCAAGACAUGUUCUUCAAGUUUUUUUCAAUAAGUCACCAUGAAACCCACUAAUCCGGCCCAUGCAUGUUUAACCUGGUCACUCCAAAAUUCAUUUUAAGCUCAUGCGCUUGACUCUUGCUUCUCGAGCUUUAAUGCUUUUGAAUGCACCAACCAUUUGAGCCCAUACCACUUCACCGCGAACCCACUCAUCUAAUGCAUGUGUGUUUAACCUGCGCCACUCGAAAAUUCAUCUGAGCCCAUGCGCCUGAUUCUCGCUUCUCGAGCCUAACUGCUUUUCGAAUACACUAACCAUUUGAGCCCAUAAGCCUAACUUGCGCCUCCGGAGCCUAAUUCUUUUCAAUGCACACGACUCCGCUCCCUGAACCCGUAAUGUUAGUAAAAGUCACCAACCAAUCUCACUACACCACUUACACGAGUAGCCUAGAAUCAUUGAACCAUCGGCUCUAAUGCCUCUUGUUAGAAAGUUUCUAGGCCCAGCUUAUUCCCAUAUGAGCCCAAGGAUGUGGCAUAUCUCAGGAAACUCACAAUUCACAUGUGAAUUCUUAACACUUUUUAGAUCUUGCCCAUUGUGAGUUACGAGCAAUGUUGAGACACUUUGAUAAAAUAUUAUCUACUCUAAGUGCAAUAUUCGUAUGUUCAUGCAUUUUAGAUCCAUUUCAAUCUAUUAAAUUAUAUAUAUUCAUGCAUUGUUGAUCCAUUUCUUUUUUGAGAGAGAGAAAGAGAUAGAUAACACGCUACCCGCUUCGUUUAUUUCAUUUAGAAAUAAACUUAGUUGGAAAUAUAAAUCAACUAGAUUUCAAUCUAUUAAAUUGUAUGAAACAAUUAUUCUUAACCAUUAUUUUUCUUCAAAAACAUAUGCUAUCAAAUAAUGAUUUUUUUAAUAAUUAAUUAAUUAUAUUCAAUACUCUAUCUCAUAUUUGGUAUGGUGAAACUCGAACCCAUCAAGACUAUUGUUUUGAUACCAUAUUAAAGUACAUGAAAUAAUCGCUAUUCUUCAAAAAAUUAAUCUACCACAGAAAAGUGUAUUUAAUAAUUAUAUUCAACAAAAUUGUUAUUGGGAUUUGGGAGCCGAACAAUUUCCAAAUUAGUUGACCGAGUCAAACAUUGACUGAGUGGAACUCCCACUGACUUACAACUUGGCUCAAGAAGUGACCCUCGGUUGAUAAAAUCAAGCAAUAGGUUAAAGAGGGCUUCGCUCAACCAAAUUCCUUCUUAAUAUGUAAAAGCUUUUGGAGAUGAAUCAAACUCAAAUUUUUUGCACAAAUUCCUCUGAAGUAAGAGCCAAACUAGAGCUAAAUUUCAUUAAAAUUACAAGGAAAGAGCAAGAGGGCUCAGUUUACAGAGAUCUAGGCUAAAGACGAAGGAUUUAUAAUUCGGCUCUUUGUGAAUGUGAUGUGCUAGAGUGAAGAAUAUAUAUAUAGUGGAGAACAAGAAGGCUCAGUUUUUGAUUGCAUAUCAUGUUUGUGACACCAUAUUAUUCGCAUAUUGGAUUGAUAAGGGAUUACGACGGAGUGCAUACUGCAUAAGAAUGAUAUAACUAAGUUUAAGCAUUUUAAACUAAUGAUACUUGAAUUACAUUCAGACCAAGCAAACACUGGCAUGCAUGAACUACGACUAGCUAGACUGCGAUGAUCCUACGAUUACUGACGGCGUGCUUCGAGGGCUCCACUGCCUGGCAUUCCCGGCACGCCGACACCACGAAUCUGAACAAACCCUUCUGCUUCUGCCACCGCCGCCGAUGCCUCUUGCCUUCCCUCCUCUGCAUUCCCUUCUCCUCCCUCUCCGACCUGCUCGUCGGCUCCGCCAGCAGGAACGUCACGCGCUUCGGCGCCCCCGACCCCCUCCCGCUCUUCUUCUUCAGCAGGACCGUGCCGUGAUCGUCAGCGGCAGCCAAGACGUCGGAAAGGGACGGAGAUUCCUGUCCAGCACCAGCAGCAGCAGUAGGGAAGAACUCGAAGCUGGAGUCGCCUGUUGGAGCCGUGGUUUUCGGGCUUCUGCUUUCGGUUUGGUGGCUCGCGACCGCGCAUCCCGCCAUGAAUGCGAAGGAGAGGUCGUCGGCCGUGUCCAUUGCUGAGUGCACGUACUUGGAGAAGCUGUAUAGGUACAUUAACAUAGAGUUAGGUUUGUAGUGAGAGGGGGAUGAUAAAUACGAGAAUGAGUGGUUAAAAGAUGUGGUUAAUUUGGGCCACAAGCUUAAAGUUGUUUUUUGUUCAUUUGUUUCCAAGUUCUUGUUGUGUUCUUUUCUGUAUAGCAAGUGGUACGUGUUUAGCUUUUAGGCCGGCAAAAAAUAAGGAUGGAUAUGAGAGACUCGAUCAAAGAUUCCAACCGGCUUGAUCUUGCUCUUAAAUAGACAUUAAAAACUAUGAUCUGCCGCGUCUGCCACACGGUAGCGGGUAACGGCGUAUAUUUUAACAGGAGUAAGUGGCAAAGAACUUUGUGGUUGAUAUCCGAAGUCCCAAGUUCGAAUUCUAGUUGAUUCACAUUUCUAACUGAGUUUAUUUCUAAAUGAAAUAAACGAAGCGGGUCAGCCUAUCUCUCUAAAAAAAAAAUAAAAAUGAAGGGGUAUCGAUUUUGUGUAUGGAUGAGAAUUAGAUUAUUCAGGAGUAAGAAAAAUUAUGUUUGAAUGGUUAGAUUGGAAUAAUACGAAUAAGAUUAGUUAUAGUUGUAAACUAAUAAUAUUUUAUCUAAAUAAUAAGCAUAAAUUUUAAAAUUAUUAAUAAAAUAAUAUUUUAACAAGUUAAUUAAUUAACUAACUAAGGAUACUGUAUAAGAUGAUGAAGAAGCAUGUUAAUUAGUUACAAUAACUAAUUAAUUAAUUAUUUAAUAUUAUUAUGUAUUUAGUUGAAAUAUUAAUUACUAAAUUAAUAUAAAUUCUAGUGAUUACUUGAAUAAACAUAUUAAAUUAGUUCGUUAUUUAAUUUGCUAGAUUAUAAAUAAUAAAUUAUUUGUUCAAGUAUUUACUUAACUAUGUGUUAAAUUUAAUAAGUCACAAGUUGUUAAUAGUUAUUGAAUAAGUUAAUUAGUUAUUAAUUAACAAUGUUUUAAAAUUAUUUAGAAACUAAUUAAUAGAAAAAAUAUUUAAGAAUUUGAUCUGUUAAAAAUUUAAUUAGUUAAAAAAAUAAAUAUAUAAUAUACUAGUUAUCAUAGCUUAAUAAAUAAAUCAUUAUUAAUAGGGGAGAAUAAAGAUAAGAGCAAUUAUUCUAUGGAGAGGCAAGAAUAAUAAUUCUCCUCUCCCAACAUAUUAUUCUAGAAUAACUGAUUGAGGUUUGAGAGAGGGGUCUCACGUUGUUGGUCCGAUAGAAGACGACGGGAUGUUUCAGACAACCAGCAAAAAUAUCGAAUGACAUUCAUAGAAAAAACCGACCGUCCCUAAAGCAAGUGGCAAAGGACUUGAUUAAAGAUGUCAACGGGUCGGAUUCGGGAUGGAUUUUUAAAAAUCCGAAUUCGAACCCGACUCCAAACUCGAGACCCGAACCCGAACUCGAACCCGACGGAAUUUAAAAAUCCAUAUCCAAAUUCGAACCCGACCAAAAAUCCGAAACUCAAACCCGAACCCGAACCCAAAAAUUUGAACCCGAAAUAAUUAUUUUCUUUUUCAAUUUUUCAAAAUAUAUUAUAUUAAAUCUAAAUUUUUAAAAUAUAAAAAAAUAUAACAUCAAAUAUAUAUAUAUAUAUAUAUAUAUAUAUAUUCGGGUUCAAAUUUUCGGGUUCGGAUUUGAGUCGGGUACAAUCAAAAUCCAUAUCCGAAUCCAUAUCCGUCGGGUUUCUAUUUUUGAUAUCCAUAUCCGAAUCCAUAUCCAUAUCCAUCAGAUAUAUCCGCUUCAUUCGGGUUCGGGUUCGAAUAAAAUUUCGGGUAUCCAUACUCAUUGACAUCCCUAGGCUUGAUGGUUGGUAUCCGAGACCCAAGUUCGAAUCCUAGUUGAUUCACAUUUUCAGCUAAGUUUAUUUCUAAAUGAAAUAAACUAAGCGGAUAGCGUGCUACCUAUCUCUCCAAAAAAAAAAAAAAAAAAAAAAGACAUCCAUAGUAAAAAAAGGUAAAAAAAAAAAACGUAAAAUGGGCCAGGUGGCUAGUAGGCCGUCCAGCCUGACGCGAUAGCGGGUCAGGCCGUGGCCUGGCAUCGAUGCUGGUUGUAUUUGAGCCAGACCCUCUAGGCCAGCCAGCCCAGCAUGGCAAUUGCCGCGACGGGUCUAGGUCGUGUCGGGCAAUAGGUUGGCCGGUGGCCCGACACGGAGAAGGGGUGGACUUUUUGUACAAUUUGGACCAAAAUAACCUCCACAAUUUUUUUUUUUUUUUUUUUUUUUGAGAGAGAUAGAUAGCAUGGUAUUCACUUUAUUUAUUUUAUUUAAAAAUAAAUUUAGAUGAAAAUGUGAAUCAUUAAUUACAGGGUAUUAAAGUAAUAUUCAAUAAACCAUAGGUAGGGUAUCUGAAGUUUUUUUUCUAUAUAAUUUAAUGAAGAGUUAACAAAGGUGCUGACGGAAAGAGAAAAAUAAAACUAUAGGAUAUUAAAGUGAUACACUUUAAGCUAUAGGGUACUAAAGUGAGAAAGUGCGAAAUUAGAGGGUGGUAUUUGAAGUUUUUUCUAGAUUCUAUGACUCAAUUAACUAUUAGAAUGAGUGUUACUUUUUUUUUUUAAUUUAAUUCGGUUUAAAAUAGUUUAAUCUGCCAAAUUUAAUGAACUUAUCAAUUAAUUUGGUAAAAUUUCUAAUUUAUUCCGCUAAAAUCAUUCAAUUUUAAAAAUAAAAGUUGAAGUUUCUCAAUCAAAGUAGCCUUUAACUGUUUUGUAAUGAACAAAAUUAGAAUAAUUAGCUAUAUAUUUAUGGCUAAUUCCGACAAAAAAAUUAAUAUUUUUUAAUUUAAUAAAAUUAAAAAUUCAGGAAAAAUUCGAAAUUAAAGGAUCUCAACAUUAAAAAAAAUCAAAAAAUCAAAUCGAGUCCAUUUGACGACUCUGCAUGGUUGAGGGGGUUUCCACUUUCCAUCCAUCUAUUACUAUAUACUAAAGUGCGUGGGGUAUUCUUCGUUUAUUGAUAUGUGUCUGACUCAAUUAUUUGGUAUACCCGGUGCAUCGUAGACCGUUGAUUGUGAACAUAUGUAUGGCGUAUGGGAUAAUGUUGGGCGCAUCUCGUCUAUUCUUUUUUAUUUUUAAAUCCUAAACUAUAUAAAAUUUUGAGUUAUUUUUCUAAAUUGGUUAUUGCCUAUCAACUAUUAAACUAAUUAGAGUACUCCAUUUUUUUUGUUAUUUAUCUAUUGUAAGUCCAAAUUUUAGAACAAAUUAUAUUUAAUUUCUUCACAUUGGUGGUUAAUUGUGCUAAAUUUAGAAAUUUCUUACAAAAUUAAAUAUAUGUUAAUAAAUUCUAAAUAGAAAUUAUAAAGUCGGUCAAUUAACCACCAAUGUGAAGAAAUUAAAUAUAAUUUGUUCUAAAUUUAGAAAUUUCUUACAAAAUUAAAUAUAUGUUAAUAAAUUCUAAAUAGAAAUUAUAAAGUCGGUCAAUUAAAAACCUAUGAAUUAAGUAACUACUUUUUAUUUUAUUAUAAUAUUUUCAAUUCUCGAUAUUGCUUACAUGAGUCGACAAAAAUUAUCUGAAUAGAGUUAGAAGAAUAAAAUUUUUUAAAAAAACACAAAAAGAGGAUAUAUAUCUUUUGGACAAACUGGUCCAAAAAUAAGAAUAUUACAAACUUUUCCUUUUUACUUCAGAAAAUUUUCAAAGUUUAUAGAACCCCCAAUAAUUUAAAUAAGAACUAUCAAAUAGUUAGAUACAAAAUAUGUAACAAAAUUUUAUAUUUUGAAAUCAAAUAUUAAUAAAAAAUAUAUAUAUUAAAAAAUAUAUUAUAUUUUAGAAAUAUAAUUAAAAAUAUAUCAAUUUUAUCUGCGAUAAAGCGCGGACACAUUGCUAAUAUUUACGUGUCAUUGACUCAUUGGAGGUCGCCCAAUAUUCCCAAUCUCCCACCGUUUGCCUCAAACAUGUGGCCUUCUCCUAUUGGCCCAAUAGUUGGGGCUGUAGAAAAUAAAAAAGUUAAAAAUGCACCGAGCAUAUUAUUAAUGGGUCAUUUCCAACUAAUCAGACUAUUGUUCUUAAAUUUAUCCAUCUCAUCAUAAUUAUUAAAAAUUAUUUUUAUUAUACUUUUUUCCUCAAAUAAAAAUAUGUGAUUGGUUAUUUAUUGAUGAUGUGGUGUAAAUGUUCUAUUAUACACUUUCUUAUAAAAAAUCGCUAUACUAUAAUGUGUAUAUAAUUUGAACCUUCUUUGUUCCUAGUGCGCAAGAUAUACAGGUAAUGUUUGAUUUUUUUUACAAUUUUAUUUCUGUAACUUAUUACCAUGAUAUAACAUUUUUUUCCCAUUUAGUUGGCAUAGUAAUAAUAUCAUGUCAAAAUGCUACAAAUAUUAAAUUAAUCAGGCUCUAUAGCCUCUAUUUGAGCACACUCGAACAUAUUUCAAUUUUUUUUUAUACAAUAGUAUAAGAAUUUGUCUGAAAUAUCAUUAUUUUUGGAUUAAAAACUUUAUGUCGGAGGUGUUUGGAUCACUUUAAUCUUUUAAUUAGGUCUCACAAAAAGUGGUCGAGUUCUAGAAAGAGAAAGUUUUUGGCCAAUUUCCAUUAUUAUUAUUUUUUUAUCAGAAAGUAGGAGAAUAAAUGGUUAUGGUAGCACUCAUUUAUUGAUUUACAUUAAAAUGACAUAGGUUCAAACUCUUUGAUAUGCCAAAAUUAUACAGGAUUAUUAUGAUCACUGUGUUGUAUCUUGCACUUUUACAAAGAGAACCCAUAUAGCUCUUUUUUUAAAAAAAUACUUUACUAAUCAAAACACCUUAUAUUAAACAAAUACUUUAUUUUCACGUGAUACGCAAACAGAACCUAGAUCGUUUAGUUUGCAAAAAUGAAUAGUACGUACUGUGGUUGUUUGGUCCAAUUUUUGCUCGCUAGGUCUAGAAGCAUGUUUUUCAAAUUUUUUUUAUUUGCAAAAUCUUGGUGCCUUUUGGUAUUAGCAAAAGGCCACAUUCAGCAGCUUUACUGCAAAAGUCUCCUCUACAAGAGUUUCUGCGAUACAAGAAAAAGACAAAACAUAGUCUUUUCACAUUGAGGCCCUUUGCAUAUCUGAUAACGAAGCGUAGUUAAAUUCUAUUACACUGAUAGUAAAUGUCACGCUCCGAAUUACACAUUUUUUUAGACAUGCCAACAGACCCACUGUAUAUAUAGAAAUAUUUUCUAUAUACGAAGCGAUAGCUGCACCUGUAAACACAUCGAGCUAGAACCACAAGAUAACGAGCUGCCAAAUUGAAAAACAUAUAUAAAUAAAAAUCUCAAGGGGUUCCAGUAUAUACAAAAUAUCUACUAUACCACUCGCUCCAGCGAGUACUCAGACAACAACCAUAUGUACAUAAAUACCCCAAAACUACCUGUGAGAGGUACUCCCUAACACUGCAACAAGUCUGGAAAGGAUCUAGCUCGCAACUCUCUUUCCACGAUCAGAAUCGGCGACAUUAGCAGUUGUAGAAGAAAGCUAUGCAAAAAGGGGUCAACAACUGGGUGUGAGAACUACUGUAAAACGAAAUAGUCCUCAGUGGGUACCACUACUGACUUCAACGGCUCACCCACUAAGUCUACAGAAAGUAUGCACAAGAAUAGUAAAGGAUGCCGACAAAACAUUACAGCUACAUGUCACUAUACUAUCGCUAACCACUAUCUGUAGAUAAAAACUGCACUCUCUGACUCAAUCUCACUAGGGACUAUGAACACACCUGUCCCGUCUGUCGAAACUACACCAACCACUACCACACUGGGUUGUUGGUGGAGAGAAAGUCCAACCAGGACACCACGACAUCAACGCAAAAGCACUAAUGGGCGCUACUCAACCGAGUAUACAAGCGUGUCUCUGCCGAGUUCAAUCAGGCUCUUACAGACUAUAAUCAAAGCAAAUGAGUCUAGCUGGUCCUACAACUAAAACGCACGUGCCCUUAGCACAAUCUGAUACAAAAAUAACAAUCUGGGUCCACUGUCAACCGCGACGGCACCCGACAGUCCGAAACAAUCUACACACUACUGUAAAAUAAGCUCGGCACCCCAGUACGAGCGUAAACUCAUCCUGCACCAAUCUGGGUAUCCACCGCAUAUAAAUAGCGGCGAUACAGACGAAUCACAGUUCCUAAAGCUACAUCUGGUAAUUUUCAAAAAAUGACAGUGUAGGGUUUAAUAGUUUUCUCCUAAGUCAAUUCCAACUCCAACAUGUAAAACGAAUCUAGAAUUCAAAGUUCCAACUCAGAUUUCAUUAAAGCAAUGCAAAUCGGUGAAUUGAGCUACUAACAUGGUACUACACAGAAAGUUUACAGGUUGACAAAAAUCUAGGCUUAGGAGAAAAUUCGACGAUUUCGGUAAACUUCAACCCACCUCAAAAAACUCGUCCAACAAUGGCAAGAAGUCGAAAUAAGAGAAAACCACGCGCUCGCCCGGUCUCCAACUACGCAACUGCGACGCAAGUACGCUCGAAUGACCCUCUGGAUCGACGUCGAAAUCUCCCGAGCUCGAGCCACGGCCUCCAUCAAGCACACGAUCAAAAACUAAAGAGAGAGAGGAAAAGGGAGAAGAGUAUCCUCUCUCAGCAACUCAGGUUGAUAUAGAUAAGGGAGGGUAGGUAGCGAUGAUAACCAUCAACAAAAAGACCACAAUACCCCUCACCAACUUAAAAUUUCAGCUGGAGUACCGGUACCCGAUUUGGUUACCGGUACUCGGCCUCUCAGUCCACAAGCUCGUACACCGGAUAACGGUACCAGCCUGAUGCUGUACCGGUACCCAGCAUCAAUUGGCGCAACCCGAGAGCAUGCUGUCCAGGAUUUAUACUGCGGUACCGGUACUCCCCUGCGUGGUACCGGUAAUCAAUAUUGAAAACCUACACUUUGCAGAUUCCAAUAUCAAUACACCACUCUUGCGUCGUAUUGAGUCCGUUUUGCGUCCAUUUCGCGCCAAAACGACUCCAACUUGUCCCGACACUCUCCAGAUGUGUCGACAAGCCUUAGAUGCUGAAAUCUCACUAGCAAUCAACCACCAGGGAUACUACAGUAAAAUUAUUCUGUAAAGCGUUUGGAAGAAAAAAAUAAUAACAUAAUUUUUAGAGUAUAGUUAAACUAUAUUCCAAAAAAUAGAGUAAAAUUAUAAUUCACUCUAACCAAAGAAAAAUAAUUCUAUUAUUUUUGAGCUCCCUUAGUUCCAAGAUGUAUCAAGUUCUAAUUUAAAUUUUAAAAUAAAAUUUUAAAUUGCAACCUAGAUUUUAGAUUGUAAAUUUUAAAAAUUUAAAAUUUAAUUUUAAUUUUAAUUUUUAACUUUUAAAUUUUAAAUUUUAUAGUUUGAAUUUAUUAUUCAAAUUUUUAAUUUUUAAUUUAAAAUUUUGAAUUCUAAAAUUUACAUAUCAAGAAUUUAAAUUUUAUAAUUUUGAAAUUUAAAUGUCAAAUUUUAAAUUUCAAAUUUUCUAAUUUUAUAAUUUUAAAUUUUAAUUUUUGAAUAUUAAAUUUUAAAUUUUAUCUUUCAAAUAAUAAAUUUUAAAUUUUAAAUCCCAAAAUUUCUAAUUUUUUAAUUUCAAAUUUUAUUUUUUAAAUAUCAAAUAUCAAAUUUUAAUUUUUAAAUAUCGAAUAUCAAAUUUUAAUUUUUAAAUUUCAAAUUUUAAAUUCUAAUUUUUAAUUUUCAAAUUUCAAUUUUCAAUUUUCAAAUUUCAAAUUUCAAAUUUUAAAUUUCAAAUUUCAAAAUUUAUUUUAAAUUUUAAUUUUCAAAAUCUAAAUUUCAAAUUUCAAAAUUUAUUUUAAAUUUUAAUUUUCAAAAUCUAAAUUUCAAAUUUCAAAAUUUAGAUCUCAAAUCUCAAAUUUCAAAUUUCAAAUCUCAAAUCUCAAGUUUCAAAUAUCAAAUCUCAAAUCUCGAGUUUCCAAUUUCAAAUUCUAAAUUUUAAAAGUCAAAUUUAUUUUUUAAAUUUUAAAUUUUAGAUUUUAAAUUCUAAAUUUCAAAUUUAAAAUUAAAAUCUAAAUUUCACAUUUCAAAAUUUAUUUUAAAUUGAAAAUUUCAAAAUUUAAAUUUCAAAUUUCAAAAUUUAAAUCUCAAAUUUUAAAUUUCGAAUUUCAAAUUUCAAAUCUCAAGCUUCCAAUAUCAAAUCUCAAAUCUCAAGUUUCCAAUUUCAAAUUCUAAAUUUUAAAUUUCAAAUUUAUUUUUUAAAAUUUUAAAAUUUAGAUUUUAAAUUCUAAAUUUCAAAAUUUAAAUUUUUUAUUUCAAAUUUUAAAUUUUUAAAUUUUAAUAUUAAAUUUAGAUUUUUCUAUUUCAAAAUUAUAAAUUUCAAAUUUUAAAAUUAAGAAAAAUUUCAUGAUGUUGCACAAUGUGCAUUCAAACAGUUUAAAAAUUUAAUCUGUGAAAUUUUUUAUGGUUAUAGAAUUCUUUAAUUCAUCGAAGCUAAAAGCACAGUAUAUAAAUUCCAUGGAGAUAUUUCAUUAUGCAUCCAAACAGACCCUAUAUACAUUAGAUAGGACCGCUAUUUAGCCUGUUUGCCUUGAGUAGAAUGAAAAACUAUAAGGAGAUAGUGCACAUCAUUUGAUGAUAAUAUUACGAUUUAAACUUAUAAUCGAAUUGCUUUUUCCUUGAUGAGGGCUGCAAAAUAUUUAUGUACAAAUUAAUUUGAAUUAUGUAUAAUUUAAUUAUUUGUCAUGCAUGUUAGGACUAUUUUGAUAUUUACCUCAUUAAAAAGAUAAUUCUAAAUUAUGUAUAAGAAUAUUCUUAAUUAAGUUAUUUUUAAAUUAUGUAUUUUCUACCAUAUACUUAAAGUAUAUUUUAUUAAAAAAUAUUAACAAUAAUAUUUUGGUGGUACUUUAUUAAUGUAUAACAUUGUUUAACAAUUUUCAAACGAAUAUUAGUCAAAUAGAGUUUAAUUACAAACAUCACUAUUUAUUAAAUAGCACAAUAUUGUAACAUAUAACACUUCUAUAAUUGCACCAUUUGCACCGUUUCAAUUGCACACAAUGCUUAUAUGAUGAGAUUACGGAACAUUCUACCAUUUUUUUCAAUAUGACAGUUGUAGUAUUUCUGGUGUCCAGCAGCUGUGAAAUUACAGCAGCUGUGAAAUUACAGCAUCUGAGGCUUGUCGACACAUCUGGAAGUGUCGGGAUAAGUCCGAGUCGCGUUGGCGCGAAAUAGACGCAAAACGGACUCGUUGCGACGCGAGAGCAGAUUUCUAGCAUUGAAAUCUGCCAAUUGCAGAUUUUCAGCAAUGCGUACCGUUAAUUACCACACAGCGGCAUACCGGAAUUCCAGUGUAAUCUGCGAACAGCCACUCUCGGGUUGCUAUUUCUGCUGCGGGGUACCGGUACGGCAUCGGCCUGGUACCGGUACUCCAGGAUAGGUGAGGGGCUGUUUGGUCUUUUGAUGCCUCGUUCACUUUACCCUUAUUGUCACGCCCCGGAUGUCUAGUUCCCCGGACACGCCGACAAAUCCGCCGUAUACAAAGAAAUUUUCUCUGUAUACGAAGCGACAGCUGUACCUGUAAAUCAAACGCUACUACGAACAGUAGUAGAGAGCUGCUAAAAAAAACAGAAGAUAAACAAACUGAGUUUCAUAUACAUAGUCCAAAUCCAAAAUACAGAGCUACUCGCACUGGCGAGUUAAGUCUACUAUGUACAGAAACUCGAAACAAAACAUCUACCUGCAGUAGGGGCACCUCUCGCUCAGCACGACGGGUAGGGCUCUGACUCGUGACGCCCUUGCCUCGAUCCUGAUCCGCGGAAGGCGCAGCAGCCGGAACCUGUGGCUCUGCAAAAUAGAGGUAACAACUGGGCGUGAGAACUACUGUAAAAACAAGUAGUCCUCAGUGGGUACCGCCCAAAACCACAUCGGUCCACCCACUAAGUCUACAGAAGGGAGCAAGAGUAGUCAGAAAAGCAGGAAGUAAACUCUACCGCUAUCGAUCACUACACUAUCAUGCUCUACACUAACCAACUGUAGUAAAUGUCAAAUCUGACCCAAUCCAAUCGGGACUGUAAGCAUACCCGUCCCCGGGACUGUGAAUACACCCGUCCCUGCCCCGUUGCGACUACUAGGCUCUAUCCACACUAACUGGUCCGUGGAGAGCAAGUCCAACUGGCAUGAGCAACACCAACGCGAAAGCAUAAAGCCUGACUCCGGAGUGGCACUCGUGGCGCCUACCAACCGAGUAUGCAGCGUAUCUCUGUCGAGUUCAAACAGGCUCUGAAAAGCCAAAGUCAAGAAAUCGAUUCUAACUGGUCUAACAACCAACAAGUAACGUGCCCUCAGCACAAUCUGACGCCAAAAAGGCGAUACGGGUCCACCGUCAUCUAACGGCACCCCAAGUCCGGAACAACCUGAACAAUACUGUAAAAAUCCACUCGGCAUACCAGCACGAGCGUAAAUGUAUACUAAACCACCUGGAUACUCGUCUCGAGGAUACUGCGACAGUACAAUUUAAUAACGGCUCCUAGAGUUAAAUCAGGCAGUUUAAUCAAGUGACAGUCCAAAUCGCAGGUUUUCUCUAAUUCAAUUUCCAAGUCCAACAUGUAUAACCUAUUCAAUUUAUUACCACAUGCUCCAAAUUCAGAUAUGCAAUCUUACCUUAAUCCAUAAAUUCGAUCGCAGUAGAAUAGAUUAUCCAGAAAUUGAAAACUAAUGUCUCGACGAUUAGAACUUAGGAUCAAACCGAUGUAACCCACCUCGACAGCGACCCAAGCACCGUGGUAAGUUAGGUCUGUGCGCGCGCAAUUAUUGAGAGACGUUCUGGUAACGGGAGAAGACGAAAUUGCACCCCUCGCCCUGGGUCCUGAGCAACAUUUAGGGACGGUACCUCGUACAGUGGCUUGGGUGGGUUGUUUGUUUAAGUGAUUUUGGUAGAAGUAAUUUUUUGAGUCUAAAGUGAACGCGUUCGAUUCACAAACGAUAUCUGCGUAGAUGCUCGCUGCUGGUGUAAGUUUUAUAUGUCGUGGCUACAUGAUCUGACGCUUAACCUAUGUCUGCCUCACGUAGCUCUCUUCGCACUUUGCCUUGAUAGAUAGAGGAGGGAGAAUGUGAAAUCACCACUAUCCCUUUGGUGUAAAUUAGAGUUACCACAAUAAGAUUAAGGAUGAUGGUUGGUGUAUGCUUAUAAUCGUUACGGAAUUACAAAAGUCCACCCCCUAUGCUUUUACUAACUUAACCGACAUAAAAAUAUUAUAUAAAAUAAAUAAAUAAAUGUUAAUGUAAGGAUAUUUAUCAACCUCUCACUACACCUUACUCAUAAAAUAAAAGUUCCUCGCCUUAAUUAUUCCUUCUUCUCAAAUUCUAAUACAUACAAUACCUUCAAGAACGAUGAUGAAAGCGUAACACAGUCGAGGUGUGGUGUGGUGGGUUAAAAUAUUAUUUAAAUACUCUAUAUUCCAUUUUCUCAUAUUUAAGAUGUCAAAAUCUUAUGAGGAUUAUAAUUAUAAUAAAUUUAAGUGGAAAUGACCAAUAAAUAUAUAGUUAGGACAUUAUUUAAAUUACAUGUCACGCAUAUCUUAGGCUGUUCUGAUUAAUUUUUUGUAUUCCUUCAUUGUCGACCUCCCGUUCUCGUUGAAUGGCUCCAAUCUGUUGAUGCGGUAGUGGUGAAGAUGAUUGCCCGGCUGCGCAAUUCUUUGGUGCUCAUGCACAGAUGAUAUUCGCGCCUGUUCGGUCGUCUCCUCGUUAACCUCAGGUCCUCACCUAUCUCGAGUGGCGAGUGGAGAAUCAAUCACUGUUUGAGAAUGAUCUCGAUCAGAUGAUAUCUCCUUCAACGCGAGACGUGAAACACGGUGGGGAUCGCCAGCAAGUCGAGGGUAAAUAAGAAAAAAAGUGGGCAUAGAGCUAUUUCCUGUAGCCAUAUGGUCGGGAGAUCCUGGAAUCUCUCUCUAUACCUCGAAAGGGCCAGCACAAACGUGGACUAAGCUUGUUUCCACUUACUACCAAAAUUGGUAUUAUUCGUUAAACCUCAAAAAGUGGCGACAGGGCGUGGCGUGUGACUCUUUUAGUGUGAUAGAUUGGAAACAUGAUCUCUAACCUUUAAAUCUAAGUUCGUCUCCUAGAGGGUUUUGUGAUUUUUGUUGUUGUUUAGGUAUGAAUUGAUUCGUGUUUUAGGAUCUCUUAGGCAGUUUGAUUGUAUCGGCGUAGCUUCUCUGUCGGCUCUGUGCUGUCAUGAAGUGGGAAGCAUACGGGCUGGAUCAGAGGUGUGUAUUUCCGUUUUUAUUUUCAACAUGUACUGUUUCUGUUGUCCUUUUGCAGUAUUAGUGUAUUGCCUCUACGAGAAUCGUAAAUAUUCUAUAUGAAUAAGAUGGUAUAGUAGUAAAGUUCGCGCUCUCGAGUUUUUCCAGCGAUUUUUCUCUUGCGAUGUUAGCUUUCUUCUCAGAACAAAAUUCCGACUUAUCCCACCAAUUUCCAUCUCUAUUAUCUUAAGGGUGAGUCUUAGAUAUUAAUUAAUUCUUAAUAGUAUUUACUUAUUAUCAUUGCUUCUAUACUAAGUAAUUUAUUUGUUGUAUAUACAUUCUGACCUCUAAUGGAGGUGUUACACUUAUUAUUCAUUAAGCUCUUUCUAAUACGUUGUAUUAUAAGCCAAUACUUGUUUAUAUUGUAAUUUUUUUUAAUAUACUUGUUUGAUAUUGUUGAUUUUGUAUAUGUAUAUCUUUUCUCUUGUUAUUAAUAUAAUAAACUUUAACAUAGUCUCACUAAAUUUGAUCAGGCUUAUCCACACUCUUUUACUCAACUAAUACAAUUCUCAGGACUGCAAUUAGUAUCCUUCAUUCUAUCAUUGUUCUUCUUUUUAGUGUAAGUAAAAGUUUUAUUUAGUUUUAAUUAAUAUUUUAUUUUAAUUGUUAUUGUGACUCUACUAACUUUGUAUUUUCAAUCUGUCAUAUUCUUUGUCUUGUCCUGAUAUUGGGAAUGGAACGCGUCGUUGUAUUAACUUUUGACUCAAUUGCAUUAAAUAUUUUUCUCCUUAUAAAAUAGAUUGUUCUUAGGUAUAGAUCUUCUAUAUUGUUGGUUAUAUUUAUUUUGAAUANNNNNNNNNNNNNNNNNNNNNNNNNNNNNNNNNNNNNNNNNNNNNNNNNNNNNNNNNNNNNNNNNNNNNNNNNNNNNNNNNNNNNNNNNNNNNNNNNNNNNNNNNNNNNNNNNNNNNNNNNNNNNNNNNNNNNNNNNNNNNNNNNNNNNNNNNNNNNNNNNNNNNNNNNNNNNNNNNNNNNNNNNNNNNNNNNNNNNNNNNNNNNNNNNNNNNNNNNNNNNNNNNNNNNNNNNNNNNNNNNNNNNNNNNNNNNNNNNNNNNNNNNNNNNNNNNNNNNNNNNNNNNNNNNNNNNNNNNNNNNNNNNNNNNNNNNNNNNNNNNNNNNNNNNNNNNNNNNNNNNNNNNNNNNNNNNNNNNNNNNNNNNNNNNNNNNAAGGGAGCAAGAGUAGUCAGAAAAGCAGAAGUAAACUCUACCGCUAUCGAUCACUACACUAUCAUGCUCUACACUAACCAACUGUAGUAAAUGUCAAAUCUGACCCAAUCCAAUCGGGACUGUAAAUACCCGUCCCCGGACUGUGAAUCACACCGUCCCUGUCCCGUUGCGUACUAUCAGGCUCUAUCCACACUAACUGGUCCGUGGAGAGCAAGUCCAACUGGCAUGAGCAACACCAACGCGAAAGCAUAAAGCCUGACUCCGGAGUGGCACUCGUGGCGCUACCAACCGAGUAUGCAGCGUAUCUCUGUCGAGUUCAAACAGGCUCUGAAAAGCCAAAGUCAAGAAAUCGAUUCUAACUGGUCUAACAACCAACAAGUAACGUGCCCUCAGCACAAUCUGACGCCAAAAAGGCGAUACGGUCCACCGUCACUCUAACGCACCCAUAGUCCGAACAACCUGAACAAUACUGUAAAAUCCACUCGGCAUACCAGCACGAGCGUAAAUGUAUACUAAACCACCUGAGUACUCGUCUCGAGGAUACUGCGACAGUACAAUUUAAUAAGCUCCUAGAGUUAAAUCAGGCAGUUUAAUCAAGUGACAGUCCAAAUCGCAGGUUUUCUCCUAAUUCAAUUUCCAAGUCCAACAUGUAUAACCUAUUCAAUUUAUUACCACAUGCUCCAAAUUCAGAUAGGCAAUCUACCAUUUAAUCCAUGAAUUCGAGCUAGAAUAGAUUAUCCAGAAAUUGAAAACUAUACAUGUCGACGAUUAGACUUAGGAUCAAAACCGAUGUAACCCACCUCGACAGCGACCCAAGCACCGGCGCGACGUCGAGAACGACGAAAAUGCACCCUCGCCGGCCUCAACGCACUACCACGACGCACGCACGCUCCAACGGCUCGCAGGCGCGAAGUUGACGUCGCUCCAAUCUCCAACUAUAGCCUCCACGAGCUCUCCACUUCCAACUAGAGAGAGAGGGAAAUUACAAAUCACCACUAUCCUCUGUAGGCCACAAGAUAAGGAUGCAUGGGGGUGCACGUGCAUCCAAAGCCACCCCAUGCAUCACCAACCGACUAAAAAAUUUAAAAAAUAAAUAAAUAAACAAGGUACUACAUCCUCCCUCACUACAAAAGUUUCGUCCUCGAAACUUAAAACAUACCUCAAGACGAGGAAGCGAACAAGUCGGGGUAGGACUCUCUCAUCACCAUCUCGGGCUCCCAGGUCGCCUCCGUCCUCGUGAUGACUCCACUGCACUUUCAUGUACGGAAUGACCCGGCUGCGCGAAUUCUUUCGUCUCACGCACAAGAAUCCGCACCGGUCGCUCCUCGUACCUCAGGUCCUCACCAAUCUCGAGUGGAGUGAAGUCAAUCACGUGAGAAUGAUCGAAAACAUAUCUCCUCAACGCCGAGACGUGGAACACAUCGUGAUGCCAGCAAGUCGCGGGGGUAGAGCUAUCCUGUAAGCCACCGCGUCCGAUACCGUCUAAUACCUCGAAAGGGCCAACAAACGUGGACUAAGCUUUCCACGUACUCCAAAACGGCGUAUCCCUCUGGACGGCGAGACUUUGAGAAAAUGAUCUCUAACCUGAAACUCUAAGUCUCGUCUCCUGGUAUCGGCGUAGCUUCUCUGUCGGCUCGUGCUGUCAGAGGUGCCGUGACGACUCUCACCUUUUCCUCAGCCUCAAGUAAAAUCUCCGGUCCAAGUGUCAUCCGCUCACCCACAUCACUCCAAAACAGGGGAUCGACAUCUGCGUCCAUACAACGCCUCAAACGAGCCAUCUGAAUACUUGUUUGAUAGCUGUUGUGUACGCAAACUCAAUCAGUCCACAUGUCGAUACCACCCUCCUCCAAAAUCCAGGACGCAUGCCCUCAGCAUGUCCUCAGAGUCUGUAUGGUCCGCUCUGACUGACCAUCUGUCUGGGGUGGAACGCCGUGCUAAAAUGCAAUUGAGUGCCAAAGCUGUCUGAAGACUCCUCCAAAACUGAGAUACAAAUCUCGGGUCUCUGUCUGACACAAUCGACACUGGCACGCCGUGCAGCGCUGACGAUCUCAUCCAAGGAUAGCUGCGCAGUCUCUCUCUCGACCAGGUAGUCUGAACCGUAGGAAGUGAGCAGACUUGGUCAGUCUGUCCACUAUCACCCAAAUAGCAUCGUAACUACCUCGCCUCUAGGCAAUCCAACAACGAAAUCCAUAGUGAUGUACUCCACUUCCACUCUGGCACUGGCAGACUCUGAAGUUGCCAGCAGGUAUCUGGGUGCUCGGCUUUCACCUGUUGGAAGUCAAACACUGAGCCACAUAUCUGCCAAUGUCCCUCUUCAUUCCAUUCCACCAAAACCGUGCUCUUAAGUUCCUUAUACAUCUUGGUCCCACCUGGGUGGACCGUAUAAGGGGAACAAUGAGCCUUCUCAGAAUGUCUGCGGAUCUCAGAACCACAGGCACACAGUCGGUCCCUGUACCGUAGUACUUCCGAACUGUCCAAAGCAAAACCUCAGCCUGCCCCUGUCUGCUGCUCUCUAAUCCUCAACAAGUACGGAUCUCCACUCUGUUUUUCUCAGAUCCUAUCCAACAGAGUGGGCUGCAAAACUAGAGAUGUCAGCCUCGCGCUAGACCCAGGGGUACUAUCUCGAGUCCCAGCGCUGUAGCUCCUCGAGUAGGGUUUCUGCUCAGUAAUCCUCAAACUCAGGCUCUGCACUGACUUCCUGCUCAACGCAUCUGCCACCACAUUCGCCCGCCGGGAUGAUACUAUACUAAUGUCAUAUGCCUUCAGUAACUCCAACCACCGGCGCUGCCUCAGGUUUAGCUCCCUCUGUGUGACAGAUACUUGAGACUUUUAUGAUCGUGAAGACCUCGAGUACUCGCCAUACAAAUAAUGCCGCCAGAGCUUCAAAGCCAAAAACCACCGCGGCAAGCUCCAAGUCAUGCGUUAGGUAUUCUUCUCAAAAUCCUUUAAUUGCCGUGAAGCAUAAGCAAUCACCCUACCAUGCUGCAUCAGCACGCAACCAAGUCCACUGUGCGAUGCACACUGUAUGAUCACAAAUCCUUCGCCCAUAACAGGAAGGGCAAGGAUAGGAGCGGACGUCAACCUCAGUCUCAAUCGUCAAGCUCCUUUGACAGUCGGUCGCUCCAGACAAAAAGAAUCCCCUUCCGCGUCAAGCGUGUGAGGGUGUGAAAGCUUCGCAAAGCCUUCCACAAACCGACGCGUAAUAUCCUGCAGUCCCAGGAAGCUCGUACCUCAGUCCCGUCGUCGGUCUAGGCCAAUCUCGAAUGCGCCUCAAUCUUCUUCCGGUCCACUGCUCCCCUCGGCUGAAAUCACGUGGCCAAGAAAGCAACCUCCCGUAGCCAGACUCGCACUUCUCAACUUGGCAAACGCUUCUUCUUUCGCAGAAGCUCUGUAGCACAAUCCUCAAGUGCUCCUAUGUCAGCAUCACUCCGGGAGUAUAUCAGAUAUCAUCGAUGAAAACUACCACAAAUCUAUCCAAACGGCUUGAACACUCUGUUCAUCAAAUCCAUGAAUGCGCAGGGGCAUUCGUCAAUCCAAAAGGAUCACCCGUGAACUCAUAAUGCCCGUACCGAGUCCGAAAAGCCGUCUUGGAACAUCCUCGGCCCUCACCCUCAACUGGUGUAACCUGACGGAGAUCAAUCUUUGAGAGACAUAAGAUCCCUGCAGCUGAUCAAAAAAUCAUCAAUGCGCCGGUAAGGAUACUUAUUCUUGAUGUCACUUUAUUCAGCUCCGUAAUCUACACAUAACCUGAGCGAACCAUCCUUCUUCUUAACAAAUACAACUGGCGCUCCCAAGGACACACUGGGUCUCACAUAUCCCUUGUCCAUCAAAUCCUAGCUGGCCUUUAGCUCUCUCAGCUCAGCGCGCGCCAUCCGAUAAGGUACCUUGAGAUUGGUGUAGUUCCAGGAACUACAUCAACACAACUCAAUCUCCCCUCCGGCGGCAAGUCUGUCAACUCAGGGGAAACACAUCCGGAAACUCCGCGACUACUGAAUAUCCUCGAGUCCCGGUCGCCGGUAGGUACCUUCACAACUGUCGCUAAGAAAGCAAUACACCCUAUCAGCAUCUGUCGAGCCUCGCCGAAGAUAUCCAAGUGGCAAACAGCGUGCUCUGCAGCCUCUAAAAGUAAACUCCUCCUGGCCUAACUCGCGGAAACGUCACAGUCCUCGCUCCACAAUUAAUAUAGUAUAGUACCGCCGCAGCAAUCCAUACCGAGCACAACGUCGAAGUCCUGCAGCUGCUCUAGCACCAACAGGUCUGCGGGCAUGACCCACGAAUCCAACUGCACCGGACACACAACAAACAUCUGCAACCUGUAAAACAUGGUCCGGAAUCUGCACCUCUCGUGCUCUGACAAUGCUCCUAACUCUAGACAUGCAAUAUGCAAAGCUCCGCUAACAAAGGAAUGCGAUGCACCAGUAUCAAAAAGAGUGCGAACUCUAAUGCCCAGAAAUCAAGUGAUACCUGCCACUACUCGGUCGCUGCUGUAGAAUCCUCCACCUGAGCUGCAUAGACUCGCCAUCGGAGCCUUGCUGUCGCUGCUCACCCUGUCGCGGCAUGGACGACCUAUCCUCCUGGCGGUAACUCGGUGCUGUCUGUAAGUCUGGCUGAGGUGCUGGUGGAGCUGAAGCUGAUGAUGGUGCUGGCGAUGCUGCUCGGGGACAAGCAGCCCUCAUGUGUCCCGGCUGCCACACCCGUAGCACGGCCCUCCUCUGCUCACACUGUCUGGCCAGUGUGGUCCUCCGCAGAUCACACACUGCGGCGUCCUCUCAGGCUGUCCCUCUGACGAGAGUCCCUGGAUCGCUGACGCCCGAGAACCCACGACCUGUGAACGCGAUCGUGGAGGCCUCGGCGGACGCUUGCUACUCGACUGACCUCCGUCGUCUGGGCUGGGGCGCUUCCUGUCCUGACUCUGUCCCGGCCCCUGAGCCCUCUCCGCAGCGCACCUCUCAUCUCUCCUCCCAUAAUGCCUGCUCAAUGGACGCAUCCAAAGUCCUCGACCUCUGCGCCCUGACGAACCGUAAUAGAUCGGGUCUCAAACCUGCUCGAACAAAUAGACCCUAUUGCCUCAUCUCUGGCUACAAACGGAACACAGUUCAGGAGUCUAGUAAACUCCCGAACAUACUCCUGAACUGUCCGCUCGCCCUGCUGGAUUCCUUUCAAGUCCUCCUCAAUUUUCUGUUUCAUGCUGUUGGGAAAAUACAUCCAUACAGCAUUCCACAGAACUCAUCCACCUCAGCUGCGCGCAACCAGUCCCUGGUCUCGCCUCGCUCUCCGCACCAAUCGUGCAUCACCUGACAAACAGUGUACUCCCAGUGGUACCUCCCCCUCUGGAACGAACAGAUCCUCAAUAACCUCUCCAUCGCACUGACCCAUCCCUCAACAACCAGGCCUCAGUGGCGCUGCCAUCGAAGAUGGUUUAGGUCAAAUCGCCGAAAACGAGCUAACCUCUCCGUCCACCGGCCUGUCCUGUUCAUUAGUUUGAUUGGACACUUUUGUUUAUUUAUGUGUAUCAGAGGUCAGUCUGACUUUCUCAUGUAGAACGUUCUGUGUUUUUUUUGUCCAUUUUCAUUAUUAUUGUGUUCUUGGUUUAGAACAACCCUUUUAUGUCUUCAAGGAAAUGCAGAUGAGUUCUUACUGUGAUGCAUUAUAUGAAGUAUAUAGUGUAACUUUGGUCCACGCAUGUUCAUCUGUCUUAUUGAACUGACAUUUUUUGGGCUUAUACACUCACUGUUUUGAUUGAGUAGCUCAUUGGCUAGUCUCAUGUUUUGUGAGGUAGCUUGCCGUUCGGACGUCUGCUUGUUAGCUGGUUCUGGUAUGUAGGUUAGGAUUCUGCGUGUGGUGGCCUUCUUAUCAUCCGUCAACAUCGCAUAUUCUUAACAGGAUUUUGUUGGGCAUUCUGUGUUUAUCUAGAAGCGGGUUCGUUUACCAAUUAGGUUUGAUGAAUCAAGGGUAAAUCUUGCGAUGCAUUCCUUGUUACCGCAAUGUGUUUUAGUUAAUUAUAUAUAUUAUUAGGGCUUUUUAUUAUUCACAACUGAUUUUGUCGCUGUGUAUUCGGUCAGAGUUGUCUUUCUUCGAACAUUCAAUCUCACUAUGUUUCGACUUCCCCCCUCUGGCCCUGGCGCGCUUUGACACACCUCGGGCUCUGCCUAUCUCUCAGCACAAUCGUGUUGCUAGUAUAGACGUUUUCGCAUUUAUACAGUGUUGCAUCAGCUGGCUGUCGUUUCAUCACUCGAGUUCAGUCUCGCUGCUCUACACUUCUCUGUCUCUCCAUCUCGUGCAUGGCAUCGCGGUCUGCCUCGUCGCUGCCUGACGUUCCAUUUAUCUUGGGGUGUUCGCAAGUUUUAACUGGCCCCACUUCGUCCCAUCAGACUUGCUUAUCACAUAUCAUGUGGAUGCGUUGCAUACUCAGUCCAUUUAGCAAGACUAAUUUCCGUGAUUCUUUUUCUAUUGCUGACUAUUUUGAAAUUUAUCUGAUAGUGAAAUUCCUUCAAGUUAUGUCUUCGUAUGGCGAUAUCCGUGGUGGCGUCAUUGUCUUUUGCUAGAAAUAAGAUUGUAAUUUCUCAUUGCGGUCUAAUGUAGUUCUCUCUGUCCGUAUAGCUUUUUUAUUGGUCGUCUUGAAGUGAUUCUUUCUCGACAUGUAACUCGUUAUGCUAUUGAUUCGCUUCUCAAGGGCGACGAUACUUUAGUAUUGUUUAAGUGAAGCAUAACUUCCCGUCUGCAGUUUUAUGGUUAUUGUACAAUCGCACGUUGCCUUCGCAAACGCUCCAAUUACUAAGAAUAUUUCUGUGUAGACGGCUUAGUCUCUUUAAGGUUUUCUCCUGCUUCUUCCCAUAGAAUAUAUUGGGUUCGUCCUGGCACCAGCCUUCAUCAGAUUAAAUUUCCCCUGAGGCGCCACAAACAAGGAACUUUUUCUUCAUCGAUUUACUUUCUCUUCCUAUCACAUACGGGAGGGGAGUUUAUAAUUUAUAAUAAUAAGUCAUUUGUGACUUUUUUUGACGGAAUUUAUUAAAACUAUAUGACGGGCGUCAGAUUAUUAUUUGCGUGUAAUUUUCUCGAUGAGCUAUUUUGCUUGAUGAUAGUGUUUUGAUAUAUGUUUCCACUACAAACACUUUUAUUUGUAAGUUUGUCCCUUUUAUCGUCCCGGUACCUUGCAUAAUAUUAGAUCACGAACUUUUCACUAGUUUGUUUCCGUUAAGCUCUCUCUUAUAGCUUCUUUUUACAUUCAUACCUCAUAAAUCGCUCUUUUAUUUUGAUCAACGGUACGCCCCGUAAUGUCUAUGUAGUCCACAUGCACGUCCGACGCAGCAACUAUGGUUUUGAGCUCGUGGGACAAUCAUCCAGCUCUGGUUCUAUUGGCAAAAUGGCUCUUGUUCAUUUCAGGUAUAGCUAGAAAUUAUCGUUGACGAUGUAUAGUUAUCUGUGCAUGAAUUUGAAUCAAUGACUCACUAUAAGAAUCCGUAUCAAAGCUGCCUAAAUUUGGGUUCGAGCAAACACAAUUUACUUAUGGAAAACGGUAACAUGUUUCCAUGUAGAUUAUAAUCUGGUCUAAUAGAAGAACCUACGACGAGAGGUAUCUAGACUAGAAUUGCGCAAGUGGUGUGUAGAUUGUUUGGUACCAGAUCUAAGUGGGCUUACUCCAAACUACCAGACGAAAUAAUCGUGCGUCCAAACUUCAUCCUCCCAGCGAUUUUGGGUGUAUUAUUCAAGUUUAAAAGGUUUUACAGCCUUAACGUACUAUACGCGUGACUCUGGCAAGUUACCAAUAUACGUGAUGUUGCUGACCUGCGAACUUAAAUUAGUGGCACUCUAGCUCAGGCACGAACGGGUAGGCUCGUGACUCGUGACGCCUUGCCUUCGAUCUCUGCUAUCCGCGGAGGGCAGCAGCCGGAACCUGUCGUCUCGUAAUUAGACGCGGUAACAACUUGACUGUGUUGAGAAUACUGAUAAAAACAAGUGCUCAGGGGUAACGCCAAAACCACAUCGGUGCCACCCACUAAGUCUACAGAAGGCGAGCAAAAGAAUAGUCAGAAAAGCAGGAAGUAAACUCUACCGCUCAUCGAUCACUACACAUCAUGCUCGUACUACUGAUCCAACUGUAGUAAAUGUCAAAUCUGACACCAAUCCAAUCGGGGACUUGGGUAAGCAUACCCGUCCCCGGACUGUGAAUACACCAGUCCCAUCGCGGUUCCGUUGCGAACUAUCAGGCUCUAUCCACAUAACUUGGUCCGUGGAGAGCAAGUCCAACUGGCUAUGGGAACACAACGCGAAAGCAAAGCUGAUCUCGGAUGGCACUCGUGGGCGUACACCACGAGCUAUGCAGCGUUAUCUCUGGUCGAGUUUACAACAGGCUCUGAAAAGCCAAUAGUCAAGAAAAUCAGAUUCGUAACUGAGUCUAACAACCAACAAGUAAAGAUGCCCUCAGACAAUCUGACGCAAAAAGAAAAAACAUAAAGGCGAUACGGGUCCACGUCACGUCUAACCGCACCCAUUAGUCCGGAACAACCUGAACAAUACUGUUUAAAAAUCCACUCGGUACCAGCCACCGAGGCGUAUAAUGUAUACUUAAACCACCUGGAGUAUCGUCCUCGGGGUGUAUACGUGACUAGAUACAACGUUAAUUAAUCGGCUCUAGAGUUUAAUACAGGCAGCUUAAUCAAGUGACAUGUCAAAUCGCAGGGUUUUCUCUCCUAAUUCAAUUUCCAAGUCCAACAUGUAUAACCUAUUCAAUUUAUUACCACAUGCUCCAAAUUCAGAUAUGCAAUCUACCAUUUAAUCCAUAAAUUCGAGCUAGAAUAGAUUAUCCAGAAAUUGAAAACUAUACAUGUCGACGAUUAGAACUUAGGAAUCAAAACCGAUGUAACCCACCUCGACAGCGACCCAAGCACCGGCGCGACGUCGAGAACGACGAAAAUGCACCCUCGCCCGGCCUCCAACGGCACUACCACGACGCACGCACGCUCCAACGGCUCGCAGGCGCGAAGUUGACGUCGCUCCAAUCUCCAACUAUAGCCUCCACGAGCUCUCCACUUCCAACUAGAGAGAGAGGGAAAUUACAAAUCACCACUAUCCCUCUGUAGGCCACAAGAUAAGGAUGCAUGGGGGGUGCACGUGGCAUCCAAAGCCACCCCCAUGCAUCACCAACCGACUAAAAAAAUUUUAAAAAAUAAAUAAAUAAACAAGGGUACUACACUUAUCCCCACUACUAUAUAUAGGAUAGAGAGAGGCUGAGGAGUUUAUUUUUGCUGUGCUUUCUCUCUCUAGUUCUUGACCAUGAGCAAGGUAGAGGCCUCGGGUGGAAUUCGGAUUGUCGCCGACGUUGCGCCGGGGAGCCGUUCAAGCGCGUGGACGUCGUUGUCGCAUCAUUGGGAGGCGGGGCAAGCGCGUAGUUCCGCUUCUUUUGACUUCUCGCCGGAGUUAGAUUAGCUUUUGAGGUGGGUUAAUGAUAUACUUACCAGAAUUCUCAGAAUUACCUCCUAAGCCUUUAUGUAGACAGCAUGUAUUUUUGGUGUCGUUUAGCAUGUUUAGUAGCUCGGUUCUUUGAUUUGCAUGGUUUUAAAUCUGAAUUGGAGCUUAAAAUAUUAGCUAAAUUAUACAUGUCGGAUUUGGACUUGACUUAGUAGAAAACUAUCGAUUCUACACCGUCAUUUCCUGAAACUACUAGAUUUAGUUUUAUGAGCUGUAGUUUGUUUGUAUCGCCGCAGUUUGUGGGCGGUGGAUACCCAGAAUAGUGUAGAAUGCAUUUACGCUCGUGCUGGGAUGCCGAGCUUAUUUUUACAGUAGUGUUUAGGCUGUUCCGGACUGUCGGGUACCGUCGUGGUUGAUGGUGGACCCCGUUGGCUGUUUUUGCAUCAGAUUGUGUCGAUGGCACGUAGAUUAUGGUUGUUAGACUAGUUAGACCCUUUCUGUAUUGAUUAUAGCCUGUGAGAGCCUGAUUAGCUCGGUAGAGACACGUUUGCAUACUUGAUUGGGUAGCGCCCACGAGUGCCACUCCGGAGUCGGGCUUAAUGCUUUUGCGUUGAUGUCGGUUUGUCUUAUUUUGACUUGCUCUCCACUGACGACCUAGCGUGGUGGCGGUUAGUGUAGCUUCGACAGGCGGGACGGGUGUGUUCACAGUCCCUAGUGAGAUUGGGUCAGAGAUUCCAUUUUCUACAGAUAGUUAGUGUUGGAUUGUGAUAGUAUAGUGGCAUAUAGCUGUAGGUUUGUUCCAGCUUCUCUUACUAUUUUUGAGCAUAUAUCUGUAGAUUUAGUAAGUGAACCAUUGAGGUCGGCAGCAGAUCCCACUGAAGACUGAUUCUUUUUACAGUAGUUCUCACGCCCAGUUAUUGGAAACCUUUUGCAGAGCCUGCGUCUUUGGUUGCUGCUGUUGCUGAUUCAGAUCGUGGAAAGGGAGUCGCGAACUAGAUCCCUUCCCAGUUUCUACUAACCUAGAGAUUUACACCAGCUAUAGAUAGUUGUAGUUUUUGGUUCUUAUAUAUACUGAUGUUAGUAUUUCGUCGGAGCGAGUAUUUUUGUAUCAGGAUACUAUGUAUAUAUUUGAACCGAUGUUAUUUAUAUAUGCUUUCUUUUUAGCAGCUCUAUACUACUGGUUGUAGUGUUGUAUGAUUAUAGGUACAGGUAUAGCUAUCGCUUCGUAUACAGAAAAAAUUUCUUUAUAUGCGGCGGAUUUGUCGGCGUGCUCGGAGAAAUGAGUAAUCCGGGGCGUGACAAUAGUAUUAUAUCCUAUAUCAAUUCUAUAACUGUCCUAUUUUCUAUAGCCCAGCCAAACAAGACCAAUAAAAACAAACAACUUUACGAAAAUAGAUUUUAAGACAUUCAAUUCAAAACAAAUAAUACUACUGUAUCGAUUUGAGCUAUCAUACUAUUGGAAACACCAAUUUCUAAUUUUUAUAUUUUUGGAUUGAUACUAUUAUCACCACCAACUAGUAAAUCAUGGAGAUUUAAGAUCUAAAAAUUAGAAAUAUAUACUUUUCAAUGGUGUAGUAGCCUCACACCUAUUGUAUCUAACUGUGGUCGGGCGUAAAUAAUUUCGGAUCUUAAAUAUGGGCCAAGCCCAUUUGCAUUGCGGCACGAGUUGGUUUCCUUUGGUUCGGGCUCGCCCGGUUCAAGUGAACUGAUUCAACCGGUUCGGGAUGGUUUGUUUUUCUUGUGCAAGGCGAUUGCGAAUAGCGAUCGAACUCGAACCGCCCUAUAUAAUCCCACAAGCAGGGGCUCCUUACUUCUCUUUCGCGUGCUCUAUCUAGGGUUUGCGUUAGGGUUAGGGCUUCCUCCCGACCCGUCGUCUCCUUCGCCCUCCGCCACCUCCCCUGUACCCGCUCUUGCACCUAGGGUUUAUCGUUUAUCCUUUCCUUGCUCUCUCCCUAUCCUGUUCUUAGGGUUUUAUUCGCCUUGUAUUCGUUAUUAGGGUUAGGAUUUUUUCUAUCAUUUUACCCUUUUCUCCGCUCCGAAGAUGAUGCAACCGGCGGGAGGUAUGGUUCAGCCCCCAAUGGGGAUGGAUCAACAGCACCAUCAGCAGCAGCCGCAGCAGUGGGCGGCGGUGAUGGCGCCGCCGCCUCCGCCGCCGCAGCAGCAGUACUAUCAGGCGCCGUCGGCGGCGGGGGCGCCGCCGCCGCCGAUGUGGAACCAGCAGCCGUCCAUGGUGCCGCCACCGGUGGUGCCCCAGCAGAUGGGGCCGCCGCCUCCGCAGCAGCAGUACCAGGCGUCCGCCGCCGCAGCUGUUGCGGCGCCGCUGCAGCCCGGUUCGGCAGAUGAGAUCCGAACCCUAUGGAUCGGGGACCUGCAAUAUUGGAUGGAUGAGACCUUUCUCUGGGGGUGCUUUGGCCACAGCGGAGAGGUGACGAUUGUUGCGUUCUUCUUAAUUUCUCUCUAUUCGGAUGUAAAUGUGCCUUUUACUUUACCUUGUUUAGAUCUUUGUCCUGCUUGGUACUGUUCUCUGAUAGAAUAUCGGUCAUUCUUUUAAGGCUUUAUGUUGAGGAUUUGGGACCUAUUUUACUUGGCGUGAGCUUGUCUAGAGUUGUUUGAAGAAGUGGGAAAUGGUAAUGGGUUUUCAGCGAAGUCUCCUCAUCAUAGCUUCCUGCUGUACAGAAACUUCUAGUUGGAGUUUCUGUUUUUGGGCCCAAAAGCUCAUUUCUACUUUUCAAGCCAGUGCUGCAUUCUUUUGUUUGUUGGAAGCAUGCUUUCUCAGAGAUUUGUCACUGUUGUGUAGAACUGUUCCAGAAGCUAGGCUAGACAUGCACUUAUCCUUCUGAGUGGUACUUUGUUUAAAGUAUUGAGUGGAUUUAGAAUGUUGUAGUACAUGAGCUUGGAGGAAGUCGAAGUAAAUUAGUACUUCAGGUUAUUCUUUGAAUCUCAAUCCUGUUGCACUCCCUUUGGAUAGGGAGUAAAGGAGAAAAUAGAAGAUAAAUUUAGGAUAGAAAAUCAUUUUCUUUGGUUUGGAGUGAAAAAUUGAGAAAGGAAGAAAAAUGGAGAGAAACAGAGAGAGUCCAUCUUAUGACAUGUUUAUCUACUUUUAUGUAAACUAGUUACAGUGCACGUGCGAUGCACGUCACAUUUGCAAAUUAAAUUAGAUUUAAAUAUAAAAUUUAAGUUAAAAUAAAUUUUGAAACUGUAUUUUGAAUUUAAAUGGUUAUUGAUGGCAGAGUCUAUUUUUCGAUUGAUUUAUUUCUAAAUUGGAUUUGUUUCUAUGCAUGUUUUCAAUUUAGUUAUACCGUAAAUGCUUUUUAUGUGUUCCAUAACAAACAGAUUGUUUUAGUGUAUACCCAGAAUUUAAAAAUUUAAAUUGAUUCCUAAAUUUCUAAAUUUGAUUUGUCUUUGUGCAUGUUUCCAAUUUAGUUAUACUGCAAAUAUUUUUUAUGUACGAUAACAAACAAAUUUUUUUUGGUUUUUUUGUGCAUUUGGCCCCCUCAAAAAGGUUUUUUUCACAAAAUAGUCCUAUCAAUUUUAUAAUUGCAAUUUUGGUCCUAUCCUUGCCAUGCAGGCACCACAUCAGCGCCACGCAAGCUGGCUUGGGCGGCGUUUAGUUGAACACGGUGUGUUCAAACACGGUGAAUGGUUCAUCGUGUUCUAAAUUUUUUGAGGUGGCCAAAUGCAAAAAAAGCCCCUUUUUUUUAAUGUAUACACAUUUAAAAAUGGGGCAAUUGCUUAUAUACCCCUAAAAAGUUUCAGACUUUCUUAUUUAUCCCGCUUAGAAGACUAAUAUAAAAAAACCCUUUUAACGUCCAAGUUCUUUCAAAUAUACUCCUAGAGUUAGAUUCUGUUAGUGAACUGUUAGGAACAUCCGUUAUCUCUGUAAAAUUAUUAUUUUGCCCUUUCAAAUAUAUCCUUCUACUGUUACCAACUUUUCUUAUUUGCCUUUAAGUUAGGGACAAAAGAGGUAUAUUGACUUCUUUUUAAUUAUGGUAGAAAUUUAACUUGGGUUUAAUUCGAGAUGACUUAAUGGGUACUAAUAGCGGGGUUAUUUCUGAAUAACGGAGAAAUAUAUGAGGGGUAUAUUUGAAACAAAAAAGGAGGGGUAUAUAAGAUAUUUCAGAAGUUUUGAGGAUAUAUAGGUAAUUAUCCCUUUAAAAAUUUAAAUUGAUUUCAAAGUUUAAAUUAAAGUUUGAAUUCAGAUUUAAAUUUAUGAAUCAAACAUAAAAUUUAAAAAAUUGUUGAUUUGAUACAUAUUUUUAAAUUAUUCUAGUUUGCAAAUCUUAUUUGUUUUUAGUUAGUUAAUUUUUUUUUGUAGUAUGCAUGGAAUAUUCCUUUGUUCCAUCUAGGUCUGUUUGUCAACUAAAAAUUUUCCAUCCGCUUUUAUAUAUUACAUAGAUAUAGAUGAAUAUGCAAUGAUGGUUGUAUCUUAAAUUACGGUGUGCUAAUGACAAAUUGUUUGUUGUUGAUGAUCUGAAGCAUGUAACUGGUCUUAGGGGAGGGCGUAUCAAGUGAUAUAUAGUAAUUUAUCCAUGAACGGCUGAAGUAACUCCUUGACAUCUUCUAAAUGUUUCGGUAAAUUAAAGUUGUCCAGCUCCCCUGGCAUUGCUUGAUUAUGUCUUAAUGUUGAUGAUUCAGUGUUAUCGAAUAUUUUGAGAGACAUAUCUACUAGGGAGGAUGUAGGGCAUAGAUUGGGUCUGAUUUAGUGAAGUGGAGGUGCAACAAGAGACCAAUGCAAUGAAAGUGUACUUUAAAAAGUGAACUAUAAAAUACUGUUAUAGUCAAAAUUAUGCUUGAUGGAGUAAAGUUUGGAUCUUAAGAAACAGCAUGUCACAAAAAUGUGUGUAGCAGAGCUGAGAAUGUGUAAACUGAUGUGUCAUUAUAACUACCGUAAGGUAUAAAAGAAUAAAUAUGCGUACUCUACAGUGAGAGUGGCUUCAAUUGCGUGCAGAAUAAUCUAGGUGAAAACAUUGUGGAGAUGCACAUGUUCUUUCUGUAACAGUAAGAUGAUCAAAUUAGGGGUGUGAAGGGGGGAAUUGGCCAACACUGACAUGAUUUAAGGUAAUGCAAGAAGAUUAAGUUGCAAUUUCACUUGGAGAGAAUAUAGCUUGUAAUAACUAAUAACGUUGCACGAUAAAAGAGCAUCUCUUAGGAAUACAAUAUAGUUUAACUUCACAGUUGGUAAAAGUGAUCUGACCUAGCGAUAAAGCUGACUUGUGUUGUGUGUUGCAAUGCAUGAACCAAGUAGUUGUUUUGUCCUCAUUUGAGAGUAUUGAAGAUUAUACUUAAUUUUGUUAUGAGUUACUUCUGUUAAGUCUUCAUGAACUUGCAAUUGUCUAUACUAUUACGCCUGCUUGCAGGUGUUAUUCUACACCACAUUUGUGAUUUAUUAGGGAAGGAAUACUACAAAAUUUGAAAACCGACCACCAUUUUCACAUGUCUUGGCCAUAUCUAUUUUAAGAUCUCUCUUGUAAGAAACAAAUAAUGUUAUCGUUUCAAUUGAGAUAUUGUUGUGCUUUUACAGCUAUCCUAAUUGAACAGGGACACAGAUGAAUAAUAUAUGGCAAUAAUAAUACAUAUACUUGAACAUAAUGGGCAUCACUGUAUGCUUUCAAAAUUUAUGUGAUCCCUCUAAUUAUGGCUUGUCCAACAACGCAGGUUGUCUCAGUGAAAAUCAUUCGAAAUAGGCAGACUGGGCAGUCGGAGGGAUAUGGUUUUAUUGAGUUUGUCAGUCGUGCUACUGCAGAGCGAGUUCUUCAGACAUAUAAUGGGCAGAUGAUGCCAAACAUUGAGCAAGCUUUCAGGCUGAAUUGGGCUUCAUGUGGAGCAGGUGAAAAGCGUGGAGGAGAUGAUGGCGCAGAUCAUACUAUUUUUGUUGGUGACCUGGCAUCAGAUGUUACGGAUUACUUGUUACAAGAGACAUUCAAGGCCCGCUACUCCUCAGUGAAAGGGGCUAAAGUUAUUACAGAUAGGCUUACUGGGAUUUCCAAGGGCUAUGGCUUUGUUAGGUUCGGAGACCUAAAUGAACAAGCACGUGCUAUGACUGAAAUGAAUGGAGUUUACUGUUCUUCAAGGCCAAUGCGGGUUGGUCCAGCUGCAAACAAAAAGAAUUCGGUUUCUCAAACUGGUAUGUAGCUUCAUUAUUAUUCUGGUAUAAUUGAUUACAAUUCAGUUUAUGGUUAUUGAAUAUUUUUGUAGGGGAUAUUAACUAGUGAAUUACCUUUGGAAUUCUUUAUUUUGAUCCCAAUAAUUUGUAAUAUAAGUUGAAUGCUUGGUCUUGUAGUGAUAUUUCAAAAUAUUGUGCUACAUCAUACACUUAAAUAUAAUAGGUAUUGCUCCGUGAUUUACCUGGCCAUCUCCUCUAGUACUUUCCUUUGUGGAAUUAGGAUCAUUUAAAAUAAUAUUCAGUACUGGAGACUUGCAGAAGUUAAUAUCUUUGCAAAGUAGGAUGACAUGCUACCUUCAUUUAGUGACAGAAAGUUUUCAGCUGAGAUGCAUUUUUCUGUUUGGGUGGCCUGUUGUUACUGCAGUUUUUAUUAUCUGAGAAUUUGAUUCCUUGUGUUUCAUGCGGCAUUUUGCUAUGUGUUUAUUCUCAGAUUAAUUUGAUUUAAUUUAGGUGCCUAGAGUCUUAGUUUACUUCAUUCAUCACCCCUAUCUCGGAGAUUUUAUGCAUUAUCCUUACUUUUCCUUUUUUUCUAAGACUUGCUCUAUAAAGAUCAAACUAACUUCGGUCAGCUUGUCAAUAUCUAUAAAAUCUUUUUCUAGGUUGUUCUUUAAUUGUUUUUUUGGACUUCUAAGGAUCGAGUCCCUUGGUCCUAUUUAGCUGCAUAAUUCUGGAAAUCAUGUCUAAUCUUCCAGCUAUCGUAAUGUAGCAAUAUAUAGUUGUUGUUUUGGCCCUGCCUGAUUUUUUCUUAGGCAAUAUUCAUCUUUUACGUUGGACGAUCUCCUCUAAUAUUUGGUUAGAGCUUUAUUGAUAAAUGAUAAGUGCUGAAAAUCCAAUUUAUGAAUAUUCUUCCUCAGCCUUUUCUUUUUAGUAACAGUUCUGUUUGCUAAAGAAUGAAUGCCUACCUUUUGAAUUAGUAUUUUGAAAUCUUUUAGGUCUUGUUUGGUUCACCUAGUUUAGACUCUAGAAUCACAGUGAGAUUCAUUGAUUCCGAUAGUAGUUGUUGCUUCACAGGAAUCGAAUUCUGAUUUGAUUCCACUUUGGAAUGAGAAUGGUCCAAUCCCCGAUCUAGCUUUGAAUUCUAGAUUGGUCCAUUCUAGAGUAAAUUGCUCAAACCCUCUCUAANUCCCUUCAGCACUCUCCUAUCCCUUAAUGAAAACCCUCUCUCAAAAUUCUAGAUAUCCGAAUUGUCCAUUCCGAUUUUCAUUCCAAUAAUGAACCAAACAUUUUUCGAUAAUUUCACCAUUCCAUUCCCCAUUCUGAAGCAAUCCAAUUCCAUUUCCAAUUCUUAUUCCAAUCAUGAAUCAAACAUGCCCUUAAUGUCUAAAGGGAUCAGUUAGAAUCAUAAGAACCCACUGACUUUUUUCCAAUUGCAGUAUCAACCACUAACAUUUGUUCAACAUGAAAUGACAAACUAACUUAUUUCCCUUUGUAUUUUGACCUAUAAAACGUGAUUUGGUGUUUAAAAGAUCAUCAUUAUCUUAUGCUGCACAAAUCAACCGUCCAAAGUAGUUGUUUAUACCAAAUCCAUUUGGUGAGAAUAGACACUUGGUGGUUUUUCUUUUUUUUAAAAAAUUUAUUAUCCAAAUGAAUCUUUCUGGAUCAGAUUGCAACAGAAAAAAUGUUAGUGGUUUUCAUUGUAUCAUUUUGAAGAUGGUCAGCCAAAAUGUUCAAUUUGGUGAAUAAACUUUGCCUUAGUGGUUCAUACUGAAAAUGAAUGAACUGCUAAGUUCUUGACAUGAAGAGUUAUCACCUAAUUACCAGUUGUGAUGGCCGCAAUGCUCCUUGAGUCCUUAUUGAUUAUCUAGUAACACUAAAUUUAAUGCCGCAUCUUGUUGUGUCAUGCUUAGGGCUUAGUGCAUUCACAAUGAGUCAUAAGAUGAAAAGAAGUUACCCUUCUGAAAAUUGUUAUUUGCUGUGAAGUUAGUUCUCUCCUAGAUACGCUACUGUGUGAAUGCUACUGUUAUCUCUCUCAUUGAUAUUAAAAAUAUUAUCUUUUGAAUGAAUGUUACUGAAUGCACAUGUGAAAGGUGAGAAAUUUCUGCACAUUCGAUUUAAUUAGAGAAUAUUCGAUUUAAUUAGAGAAUGUUUUCCUAGCAGGACUUUGAGAUCAAAGUUAUUAAUGGAAUAUCUAUACCAUCAGAUGUAAUCUGUAGGUUAAGAACUUGCAUGCUAAUUUGUAUAUUUGGAUGUUUAAUUGUGUUUGCAUUUGACUGUUCCAAAGUUGAUCCUCUUUAUAGUCAAUAUUUUUUUGUGUUGAUUCCGUAUCCAGCACCUAGAUUUUGGACCGAAUUAUAAUUUUGUCUCCAGAGUUUCAAGAAUAAGGAAAUAUGGUCCCUAAAGCCUGCCUGCAGUUGCAAUUUGGUCUUCGUAAUUUCAAUUGACAAUUUAGUACCUCAUUACUUUGGUUUCAUUUCAAAAUUUUUAAUCUUAAUGAAAUCUACAGAUGGUGCUGGCCUGGUACUUUUCUAGGCAUUUGACUAGGAGGAUGACUUGAUUGUUAUGCAGAUUGAAUUUCACUGUGUAAAUUGUUGCUAUUAAAACUAAGGACAAAAUGGGAAUCGAUGUCUUGUUAUACUUGGGCCUUUUGGUUUAAUAUAGUACUCCCUUUUUGUAGAUUGAAUUUGGGAACUUUAAGUAGCCUUAUAUGCCUACAAUAAAAAAUCAAAAUAUUGUUGAUAGAAAUGGCCAAUUGUACGCCCCAAUAUUUUUGACUCAGCUGUAAAUAAUUUAUAGUAAAAUUCUACAAGCAAUCAAUCCAAGUCAAUAGUCUGUUUCUAUGUAUAUUAUCGAUUGGUAUUCAGUAAAGUUUUCUAUUUACUCAUGUUUCCUGCAAAAAUCUGAAAUUUUGUAUGUACUAUUUAAAAACUUUCUUACAUGUAUACCUUGUACUUAUGAAAACAUUUGCCUUAAAUUUUUUUUUUUUGCAAAGCAAAUCAAUUUUCCUUGUAAAUUUGAUGACUAGCCAACUAUAGUUAAGCGUAUUUUGAAAGAAUUCACCAUAAGGGGUUUCCUUGAAAUUCUAGUUUUACAUGGUAUCUGUGCAAAUAGGUGAAUUUGAUGUGAUAUAUAUGUAGAAGCCGCUAAGUUACUUUCUAGCUCAAAUAGUUUCUUACAUAUCUUGAUAUUGCAGCUUCUUACCAGACUACUCAAGGAACUGAAUCCGAGAAUGAUCCAAAUAAUACAACUGUGGGUACUUUGUUUACUUAAUGCAACAAUUUGUUGAUAGAUGCUCUGUGUUCUUAGAAAAGAGUUUCGUAAUUGCAGAUAUUUGUUGGUGGUCUGGAUUCAAGUGUUACGGACGACCAUCUAAAGCAAGUUUUUAGUUCAUAUGGAGAACUGGUUUAUGUGAAGAUACCUGUAGGCAAGAGAUGUGGGUUUGUGCAAUUUGCCAACAGGUUUGCACUUUUUUACAUUUUCAAACAUAAAAUUUUCCCUUAUUUGGUGAUAAUUUAAUCAUGUUUGUUUGACCAGUUUUUAUUGGAGAUUUUGCAUCUUUUCUUGUGCUAAAAUAUGUUUAUAGUUUCUGACUUUUACAUUGGCCUUUCAAAUGUUUAAGUUCUUCCGUAUAUUUUUGUACUAACCCUCAAAAAUAAAUUCUAACAGAAAUCCAACUUCCUGCAUGAACAUGAUGACUCUUUUGUAUUGUUGAACAUGAUCUAGAUGGUGAAAAAUUCUUUGUCAAAAAAUUCAGUCAAAUCGGUCUGUUCUACACCGUUAUGAGUAAAAAACUCUUAUAGUCUGUCAAAAAUUGUUUGUUUUGAGGCCUUUCAUACACCAAGUAAAUGAUUUUUGAAAAUCUGAAAAUUCAGUUCUUGGUACUUCAAAUACUCAUCAUGUUUAGAUGUGUCUAUCAUUGAUUUGGGUUCUGUGUUGAAAAAUGAAUUGAUAGAUUGAAGUCCUCCGUCCUGCUAAAAGUAUAGUUGCAAGGCUCAUACAUAUAAGAAAGUUUACGGUUAUAUAGGUGAAGAAAAAAAAUUUGCAGAGAUAUAAAUGUGAAAGCUAUGUUAUUUAUGUAUACAUGUUAUACUUGUUUCUUCAGAUCAUGUGCCGAGGAGGCUCUAAAGAUGCUGAAUGGUAGUCAGCUUGGGGGACAAAACAUACGGCUCUCGUGGGGUCGUACACCUGCAAAUAAGCAGGUAGCAUUAUCUAUAACUUUCUUCAAAUUUGGCCUUUUUCCUAUAAUUUUUGAUCUUGAAGGGACACUGAAUUUCUUUAUUGAUUUUCAGCCUCAACAGGAUCCUAACCAGUGGAAUGGCAGCUAUUAUGGGUAUGCUCAAAGUUAUGAUACAUACAGCUAUGCCCCACCUCAAGAUCCUAACAUGUAUGCUUAUGCUACAUAUCCGGGAUACGGAAAUUAUCAGCAGCAGCCGCAGCAGCAACAGUAGGUAAAUAAUUAGUUCUUGUUUGAUUUUUUUUGAGUUUCAGUUGCUUAUGUUUUAGAGAUUGAUCUUUGUGUUGGGGUAGGUUUUUUUUUUUUUUUUUUUUUUUUUUUUGGCUUUUUUUUUUUAACCUUAUAUGAUCUGAGAGAUUGUUUGUUAUAAUUGAGUAAUAACUAUAUAAAUAUAAAUCUUGUCAAAAUACACUGAUUACUUUGCUUGGGGAAGGUUUUUUAAUCUCUUGUUUAUUCUGGUAUCCAAUUCUCAUGUUAGUAAAGAGCCAAGCAUGUUCAUCUUACAUGGGAAGAAAUACUGCGGCUAGAGGGGUGCUUAGAAGUAAAUUGCUUUGGAAAUCCUUACUAUGUUUAUAUGAUUGUUUGUGCUAUGAGAUACGAUUCCUAGACAUAGACAUAAUACCCUAAGGCGAGUCAUAAACUACAAAUAUGGUGGAAGUAUAAUGAGCAUCGAUAGAAUUGAUAUCAAUGUCGAGCUCAAUCAAGAAUCUUUAGUUAACCUCAAUGGCAAAUCCUCAUGAAAUAUGAGCUGUAGGUUAGAUAUUUCUAGUUCAUAGACCUGCAAAAGUACUCUUUAUUGUAUACAAUCAUGUUCCUUUUCCUACAAUAUUUUAGUUCUAUAUUGAGUGACGGUUGGAGAAUUAUUUAGGACACUAUGCUUUUAAAUCUAGCUUUAUUAUAAAUAUAUAAAAUUAUAGUCGAAUUAGAAUGCUUUCAAAGCACCGGCCCUCAGUGCGUCCACAUUUUUAUUCCGUUGGAUGUGCAUUGCUACUUGUUAAUGCUUCCGAUGAGUGGGAAUCUUGAUGCGCAUUCGGUGGCAGAACUGAGUGGUAGUACUAGGUCCCUUGUUGCUUCUAAAUGCAUUCUAGCUCAACUUUGUAAUAUCAUUGAUUUUGUUGUUGCUUUAAUAUAUACAUAUGAGAAGAAAGCGGUAUGAUGUAGAAGUAUAAAAUUAAUUUGUGAAGAGCAAUGCGAUCUGUGCACAACUUAUAGGGUGUGAAUCUUACAUCUCACCCAUCGAAAAGCUACUAAUAUUUUUACUAGUCCUAUCACCCUUUUUGUUUAAUACAAAAAAUCUAAUAGGGGUUUUUGAACCCUUGGAUGGGUUGGUGUAAAAUGUACGCCGUACUUAUAGGGUAUACAAGUAGAGAAUUUUCCGUAUCUAAAUUUGUAAUAGAUCGCAAAAUCUUGAGCAUGAUAUCUUUGCAAAGGCUUAAAGUCUGAAUUGCAUGCAGAGAAUAGGCAUACCUGCAUGGGUGGUAGGCUAUGUAGGCUAGGCGGCAAGAUUAUGCUUAAACGCCUAGGUAGGACCACCUAUGUGCCUAGGCGCAUUGGUGGCUGCUUGUAAAUAUGAAUGAGUCAUCAAUGUCCCAGAAAAGGAAACAGAUUUUCGCAUGUCUCUGUUGUGGCUAAAUGAUAUUCGAAUUGUCAUUAUCACCUGAAAUGGUGUUUUAUUUAAGAAUUUGCAAAUAUUGCUUUUUAUUGCCAACACAGGAGUCUAACUCACAAUUUGUUGUGCAGUGAUGGUUUGCGAGUCAGGAUGUAGCACGAAGUGCAUAUGGCAGUGGAACUUUGCUGCCUACGCCUUGGAGCGUUAUACGAUUCGUUCAUUUCGGCACGGAGGCUUUGUGAUUUCUGUUGAAGUAGUUUGUUUCUUGUUUAAGAUUAUUAUUAUUAUUUUUUCGGUAUGACUCUCAGUUUGGGCGACUUUUUCUUUAUAGUACUUCUGAAUCUCUGAAGUCUUUCUAUUGUGAUGACUAGAAAGCCGUUCUGAAUCUCUGAAGUCUUUCUUAUUGUGAUGACUAGAAAGCCCCUUUUCAGUCACCUUUUAACUAUAUUUAUAGUUUUUAAUUUUCUUCCUGUUUUGUAACCUAUGGAGCUUCGUUCCUUGAUCUUAAUCUGGUAGUGGUUUUGUGGUGGUUAUAAUGGGGCAGUUCCUUUUUUGGUUUCAAUUUGAGCUGUUUAAGUCAAUCAUAGUGUUUGCCAUUUUGGUUGCUUCGUUAGCUGUUAGUUGUUAAAUUGCAAGGAAAUUUGCAACUCAUUUGAAAUAGUUGUUGGAGAUGGGAAAUUUAAUGCUAUCACUGAUUAAUGAAGAUUUCUCAUUGACCAAAAUAAAUUGUAUCACAUUCUACAAAAGUUGAGUAGAAAUGUUAUGGUGGUUAAGAUAUGGAGAAGAAUGGUUAGUCUAUGUUGUUAUGCCCUGAAAUCUUCGGUUAUUGCUUUCUAGUCUUUUAUUUUUUUUUUAGUGAUUAGUUCCUGAAGUUUAGAAUGUUAACCAUGGGAUUAUUUCUUUCCAGUAUCUCUCAUUAUUAUUUGUAUUAUUCGUUUGAAAGCAGCUGGUCUGUUGGAUGGUGAUGAUUAGUCUUUUGUUUUUGAAACAUAUGAUUUUCUUGGAUCUUGUUUCCGGAUAAAAGUGUAGAGGACAAUUAUGUGUGAUGGGACUUAUUGUGGAUGCUCGGGAUUGCGAAUGAAAAUUAAUUUGUGAAUAUCAUUUCAAUAGUAAUGCAUGCUGAGGAUUUUAUGUAGAUUCUCUUUUAAAUUUGUGCUUUUUGUUAACGACUAGAUGUAUUGUUCAUAUUACACUGUUGGUCUUAACUUUGGCUAAAAUUUUUAGGCUGUUGUAGACUUUAAUUUUUAUUAUAAUUAGGUUGCAAUUUAGAUUUCAAUUAGUUGUUCGGACAAUUCAAAUAUUAACGGCGCGUUUAGUUUGCGUUAUAUAACAUUACAGGUUAUUUCGACAUAAUCGUGUAUCUAAGAAUUCGAUUACUAUUAAUGCUGUAUUACGGUGUUUGAUUUAAUGUAGUAAUAUAGUACUUAAUUACAGUAUAUAUAGAAUUAGUAUGUUUAUUUUAUAUUUUAUAAAAUUCAGUAAUUCAGACAAUAAGAUGUAAUCAUAUUUGCUCAAAAUUUUAUUUUAAAUUUUAAAUUUUAAAUCAGGAAAAAAAUAUAAAAUAUAAAUUUUUUAAUUUAAAUUAUAAAUAUGAAAUUUCUAAAUUUAAAAAUUUUAAAUUUAACAUAUAAAUAUAAAUAUAAAUAUAAAUUUAAAAUUGAAAAUUGAAAAUUUAAAUUUAAAAAAUUAAAAUUUGAAUUUGAAUUUUAAAUUUUAAAUCUGAAAAAAAUAUAAAUUUAAAUAUUUUAAUUUAAAUUAUUAAUAUGAACUUUGUAAAUUUAAAAAUUUAAAAUUUAAAAUAUAAAUAUAAAGUUAAAAUCUAAAGGCCAAUUUGCAUAAAAAAUUCACAAGUUUUGAGCUUUUGCAAAGCUGAGCUGUUUUUUUCGAUUUUGCAGGUUUGGUUUGAAUUUUCAACAAACUGAUUAAAAUACCCUUACACCUUUUGCUCUUUUUUUUUUUUUUUUUUUUUUUUCGCCGAAGAAAUCGACGGAGGGGGAGGCGGAAACGGUCCGCCCCCCUACCUCUAUCCCUCAUGUCCUCGCCCGCGCACUCCUCGCCUCUGACGCUGCCUAUGUCGCGCCGCGAUUCUCAUUUUUUUUUUCCUCUCUGACCCUUCUCUGCCCGCCGUCUCCACCGCCGCCACCGGCGACAAAAAGGAAGUGCUUCUCGGGGCCGAGAAGCACGCCGACGAGGAAGGAGGAGAAAAAUAGUUACACUCCGGUGAAGACGAUGGUUGCGAUAGAGGAAAAGGAAGAGUUCGUGACAAAAAAAAAUUAUAAAGAAAAAGAAAAUAAGAAUAAUAAAAAAUAAAAUAAAAAUAUUUUUUUCUACAGGAAAGAUCAAAAAUCAUAAAACAAGGAAGAAAAAGAUGAAAUUAUACUGUUAAAAUAAAGUUACACUGUUUUAAAAAAUUUGUGCACUGUUUUAGAUGAAAAUUGCACUUUUUGAGAUAAAAAUUACACUUUUUGGAAUGAGAGUUACACUCUUGCAAAAGUUCACUAUUUGGGUGAAAUUUACAAUAUUUCUUAUUCUAUUCUUCUUUCUCUUCUUUCUCUUCUUUCUCUUCUUUCUUCCUCUCUAUUUUCUCGUCCUCCUCCACUUUCUCCGCCGCCGUCGCUGUCAAACGCCCUUCGCGCUGCCGCUCUCCUUCUCCGCUGGCGCCCACGCGCGACGAGGUUGAGAACGAGGGAGUUGACGAGGCGGGGGCCGCGGAGGGAGGAGAGGAUGUCGAUCUCGUUCUCGAACGAGGGGGUUUGAAUGACCUCCAAGCAAACAGCUAAUGAAUUUUCGAGUAUUAAAUAGUUCUCUUUAGCCUAUGGAGAUUCCAUAAAGCUUUCUUCUCUUUAGUAUCAUCUUGGAUGAUAUUGGGUGAAUCAAACGAAGUGAUUCUCAUAGAAUUGCCUAAACCAAAUGCAGUGAUUCUCACAGAAUUGCUUGUAAUCCUAGUAGGAAUACUCGAACGCCCUAAAUGGGAUAAAUUGGUUGUUAUUUAAAUUGUUAUUUCGUGUCAUCACUAUUCAACUAUUAUAUUAUCAAAAAAGAUAAAUUUGAUAAUUACAAGAUAACCCGAUAUCAGUAAUAUGAAAUACUCACCCUCCACUCGGUAAUAUUUUCGGUGUAAUCCUGCACCAUUUGUAAUACUACAUUACUGGCUAGAUUACAUAUUGGAUGAACCAAAAGUAGUUGUCAUACCCCGGUUUACCACGUUUCUCCGGGCACGCUAACAGAUCCCACCGUAUACAUAGAAAUUUUUCGUAUAUACGAAGCGAUAGCUGUAUCUGUAAGCACGUUAAAGCUACAACCAUAGUCCGAAGCUGCUAAAAACAAACACAAGUAUAUAUAUAUAUAUAUAUAUAUAUAUAUAUAUAUAUAUAUAUAUAUAAAACAAAAUGGGUUCAUUGUACAUACACAGGCUACAACACCUCCUCGCUCCAGCGAGUACUACCACAACAAAACAGUAUGUAUAUAAAAUCCAAAACUACCUCUGACAGGUGCUCCUCUAGCAAAUGACCAAGGAAGGAUUGACUCUAGCUCGCUACUCCCUUGCCUCGGUUCGAAUCCACAACAGCAGCAGCCACAGACGAAGGCUCUGCAAAAGGUGUAAACAAUUGGGUGUGAGAACUACUGCAAAACAGAGUAGUUCUCAGUGGAUAUCGUCACCGACCUUAACGACCCACCCACUAAGUCUACAGAAAUAUAUAAAAAGGAUAGUAAGAAAAGCUGGAAAGAACUCUACAGCUACAUGCCACUAUACUAUCGCUAACCAACACAGCCUAUCUGUAGAUAUAAACAUGCAUCACUAGCUAUUACUGAUUCAAUCUCACACGGGCUGCCCAAACGGAUCCACCAUGCUUGUAGCCAAGCUACACAGUACACCACCCACGGGGGUGGUUGGUCCAAAAAAAUGGUCCAAAAUAGGACGGUUGCGACAUCAAUGCAAGUCAAAACCUCACUCCGGAGCGGCACUCGUGGGCGCGACCCAACCGAGUAUGCAAGCGUGUCUCUGCCGAGCUCAAUCAGGCUCUCACAAGCUGUAAUCAAUGCAAAUGGGUCUAAUUAGUCUAACAACCAAAGCUCACGUGCCCUUGGCGCAAUCUAAUGCAAAUCUGGGUCCACCGUCAACCGCGACGGCACCCUACAGUACGGAACAGUCUACACACUACUGUAAAAUGAACUCGACCCCUCAGCACGAGCGUAAACUCACCCUACACUAAUUUGUGUAUCCAGUACGCACUAACAGCGGGGAUACAAAAGAACAACAGCUCCUGAAGCUAAAUCUAGUAACUUUUCAGAAAAUGACGGUGUAGGUUUAACGAGUUUUCUCCUAAAUCAAAUCCCAAUUCAACAUGUAUACAUCAUCAAAAAUCACUAAAUAAUACUCCAAAAUUCGAAUGUCAAUAAAGUAUACAAAUCCACGAAUUUGAGCCACUAAUCAUGAUGAAUAAAGCCAAGAAUACAUGCUGGUAAUGCUAUGACUUAGAAGGAAAUGUAACGAUUUCGGUAAACAUUAACCCACCUCGAGCGCUCGUCCAACGUCGGCUAGAAGUCGAUAGGAGAACCCGCGUGCUCGCUUGACCUCCAAAGGUUCACUCGAGGCGACCCACGCACACGAACGGUCCUCCUAGCAAGCGAAGACUCCACACGAGCUCGACCCUUGACUUCCCAACGAGCGGCGUUCACGAUCUAGAGAGAGAGAAGAAGAAGAGUGACUAUCUGUUCUCCCAAGGCUCUCUACACAACUCUAUAUAAGCUGGGUUGGUUGGGAUGAACGACACUUCAAAAGGACCAAAAUACCCCUCACCAACUCACUUUUCUAUAUGGAGUAUCGGUACUCAGCUUGAAUACCGGUACUCGGCCUCUCAAUCCGUAGUCUCGCGCGCUGGGUACCGGUAUCAGCCUAAUGCAGUACCGGUACCUGAGCUUGAUACCGGUACUCCACAAUAGGUAUCGGCACUCAGCAUCAGACGCAAACUUGAGAGCAUCCAGUUCUGCAAUCUCACUGGGGUACCGGUACUUCUCCCCAGGUACCGGUACUCAUCACUGAAAUCAUGCACUUUGCAGAUUUCAGUGUCAUAACUCCACUCUCGCGCCGCACUGAGUCCGUUUUGCGUCCAUUUUGCGCCAAAACCACUCCGACUUGUCUCGACACCAACCACACGUGCCGAGAAGCCAUCGAUGCUGAAAUCUCACAGACCACUAAACACUAGGGACACUAUAGUAGUAAUUUUGGCAGGAUUGCCCGUAAUCCUGUCAGGAUAACCCGAAACAAACGCACCUUUAGGGGUUGUUUGAUUUCAUGUAAAAAUUUUUUAAAAAAUUUUCGGUGGAAAAUUUGUUUUCAAAGGAAACUAAUUUUACGCUCUAUAGUAUUUGGUUUGUAGGAAAUUUUUUUUUUCGUUACAGUUGUUUGGUUGAAAGGAAAAAAAAAGAAAAUGUUAUAAAGAGAAAACUAUUAUAUAUAUAUAUAUAUAGAGUCCGGCUACUAUACUCUUAUGAGUACGAUCGCCCUCGUACUCAUAAGUCGUUAUUUUUUCGCACUCAUAGCCGGACUCAUAGAGCCCAGCUACUAAAUAAAGAUCAAUAACUCCGAUCUUAAAUUGAAUAAUCCAAUUAACCAUUUUGAGGAUGUCGUUUGAUUUUGACCGUUCAUUUUAUGCUCGCUUGAUGGACUUUAUUAUGAUUUCGAAAAAUUACGAAAUUUAUUUUUUAGAAGUUUCAAAUACUCUAGAUUAUAUUUAACGGAGUGGAUCGUCGAUUCGGAAGCUCCAUCAUCGAAAAUAACCUAUGAAUACGAAGGGCCCAGUACUCAUAAGAGUAUAGUAGUCCUACUAUAUAUAUAUAGUAGGGCUAGAAUACUUGUAAAAGUAUCAUGGGGGUGAUACUUGUGUGUUUUUAGCCCUUGGAUGGAGAGAUGUGAGGUUGAGAUGAUGGUGGUAGGUGGUGGUAGGUGGAAUAGUGUUUAAUCCAAGGGCUAUUAAUAAUCAAAAAGUAGAUCCAAUGGCUUAAAACCUAAUAGCACCAUGAUGGUGAUGCUUGUAAAAGUAUCAUAGUUGAGUUAGAAUACUAUCGGUAGCAAAUGGGCUCCGUUGCCACCCAUUUGUUUUCGAUGAUGUAGCAUCCAAAUCGAUGAUCCGUACCGUUGAAUAUGAUCUAUACCUCUUGAAGUAUCUAAAAAUCAAUUUCAUGCUUUUUCGAUAUUGUUCUCUUGUCCAUCAAGUGGGCGUAAAAAUGAACGGCUGAAAAUGAAUAUCCUCUAAAAAGUGAUGAUAUUAAUUUUGUAAUCAAGAUCGGGAGUAUAGAUUUUAUUCUAAAUAGUUUAAAGAAUUUUCUAACCAAAAUUCAAUUGAUUUGAAUAGCUUUACACCGUUAAACGAGAAAAUGCCUCAUAUCUACCAUUAAAAUUACAAAUUUUGAAACCGUUUGAUCAUUAGGUCAAUGAUGUCGAAAUGAUUUGAAAUUUAGUUUCUAGAUAUUUUAAGUGGUAUAGAUCAUGUUCAAUGGUGCCGAUCGUCAAUUUAAAGGCUCCAUCAUCGAAAACAAAUGGGUGACAACGGAGCUGGUUUGCUACUGAUAGCAUUCCAGCUCAACACACACUCUCUCUCUCUCUCUCUCUCUCUCUAUAUAUAUAUAUAUUCUUUUAUUCUAUAUAUUAUAUAUUAUUGAUAUAUAAUGAUUAUUAUAUUAUAUAUGAGUUGGGCUGGAAUACUAUUGAUAAUAUUUGACCCGUUUUGCUAUCAAGUUUUUAAUCCUUAGAUGAGAAAUUGUAGGGUUACGAUGAUAUUAGUCCUUUAGGGUUGAGUGGUCCUCCUAGGGUUGAGUGGUCCCCACUUGAUUAUAAUAUUUAAUCUAAUUGUUAGAAAUGAUCAAAUAAAUUGAUCCAAAAGUUAAAAACAUGAUAGCAAAAAGGGACAAAUACUAUUAAUAUUAUUCUAGCCCAACUCUAUUAUAUAUAUUAGUAUUAUAAUUUAUAUUUAUAUUAAAAUAUAUUAUACAAUAACUAUAUAAUAUAAUACUAUAUAUUAUAUAUUAUUUAUUUAUUUAUUUUUUCUUUUGAGAGAUAGGUAGCAUGCUAUUCGUCUCCUCAGGUACCAACCACCUAGCCCUUUGCCACUUGCGCUAGGGACGGUCGGUAUAUAUAUUAUAUAUUAUUGAUAUAUAAUGAUUAUUAUAUUAUAUAUAUUAGUAUUAUAGUUUAUAUCUAUAAGUAAAGUAUAUUAAAAUAUAUUAUAGAUAAGUAUAUAAUAUAAUAUAUGAUAGUAUAUAAUAUUUAAUGCUAUAAAAUAAAUUACUAUAUAUUUAUAAAUAAUAUUUAUUUGUUAUAGUUGUUUGGUGAAAGGAAGAAAAAAGGUAAUAUUAUAAAUAGAAAACUAUUAUAUAUAUAUAUAUAUUAUAUAUAUAUAUAUAUAAUAUAUAUAUAAUAUUAUUAUUCUAUUUAUUAUAUAUUAUUGAUAUAUGAUGAUUAUUAUAUUAUAUAUAUUAGUAUUAUAGUUUAUAUCUAUAAGUAAAGUAUAUUAAAAUAUAUAUAGAUAAGUAUAUAAUAUAAUAUAAUAUAGAUAGUAUAUAAUAUUUAAUGCUAUAAAAUAAAUUACUAUAUAUUUAUAAAUAAAAUUAUUUAAUAAUCUAUUUAUAUAAAAAUUAAUAUCAUAUAUAUAUAUAUAUAUAUAUAUAUAUAUAUAUAUAUAUAUAUAUAUAGAGUGAGGCUACUAUGCUUUUGGAAGAACGGAGCCUUUCGUGCUUCCAGAUCGUUUUCGAUGUUGCGACUUUCGAAUCGUCGAUCGGCUCCAUUAAAUUUGAUCUAGAGCAUUUGAAGUAGCUAGAAAAUAAAUUAUGCGAUUUUUGAUAUUAUUUGCCUAGUGAACGAAGGGGCUCAAAAUCAACGGCUGAAAUAAAAAUCUUUCAAAACGUGAUAAUAUAACAUUUAAAUUUUAGAUCAAAGAUAUUGAUCUUGUUUUAUGUAGUAUAAAGAAUUUUCUAUCAAAAUUUCACAUGAUUUGGAUAUUUCUACACCGUUAAACUUGCAAACGGCUCACUACGGCCAUUAAAAUUAGUUGAUUUUGAACCCCUUCAAUCACUAGGCAAAUGAUAUUGAAAAAUCGUAAAAUUUAUUUUCUAGGUACUUCAAAUACUCUUAGAUCAAGUUUAACGGAGCCGAUCGACGAUUCGAAAGUCGCAACAUCGAAAACGACUUGAAAGCACGGAAGGCUCCGUGCUUCCAGAAGCAUAGUAGCCUCACACUAUAUAUAUAUAUAUAUAUAUAUAUAUAUAUAUAUAUAUAUAGAGAGAGAGAGAGAGUUGAGCUAGAAUACUAUCAGUAGUAAACGAGCCGUUUUACUACCGAUUUGUUUUCGAUGAUAGAACUUCCAAAUUGACGAUCGGCUCCGUUGAACAUGAUCUAUACCAGUUGAAGUGUUUAGAAAUCAAAUUUCAAAUCUUUUCGACAUCAUUUGUCUAAUGAUCAAAGGGUUUCAAAUUUUGUAAUUUUAAUGGUCGAUAAGAGGCGUUUUCUCGUUUAACGGCGUAAAGAUAUCCAAAUCAAUUGAGUUGAGCUGGAAUGCUAUCAGUAGCAAACCAGCUUCGUUGCCACCCAUUUGUUUUCGAUGAUGGAGCCUUUAAAUUGACGAUCGGCACCAUUGAACAUAUAUGUACAUUUCAAAUUUCGGUUUGUUGACCGGCCAUUUGAAAAUUUCUCAUUUUUUCGUACACAAAAUAAAUAACGUAACGAAACAAACUUUUAGUUCUUUUAUUUUUCCUCCAACUAUUAAUAUUUAUUUUUUAUUAAAUAUUUUUAUCAUUCAAUAUUUUUUUAAGAUAAAUAUUUAUAUAUUAUCUCUAUUCUAUCUACUAAUAUUUUAUUAUUAUAUUCACUUUUUAACUUUAAUCAUUUUAGUUUAAAAUAUAUAUUUAAAUUUUUUAUUUGUUAGAACAAAAAAUAUAGAAAAAUAUUCAUUGUAUAUCUAUAUAUGUACACUAUAUAUAAAUUUUAUAAAAUAAAAAAAACUAAAUAAUUAUUGUUGGCAUUGGCUAUUUAAAUGUAGGAUUGAAUGAUUAGGAUAAUUAUAAGAUUUGGUGUGCUUCCGACUUUUUGGCCCUUCGAUCAAGGAUGGAAUGAUUAGGAUAAUUGUAGUCACUCUAGGGUUAAGUGGUCCCCACAUGAUACUAAUAUUAAUCCAAAGGUUAGAAAUGAUCAAAGAGGUUGAUCUAAAGGCCAAAAAGUAGGAAGCUGAUAGCAUAGUAGCUCUACUCUCUCUCUCUAUAUAUAGGGAUAAUUGCCUAUAUACCCCCCAAAACUUCAAAAAUAUCUUAUUUGCUCAUAUUUUUUUUCUUUUCAAUUUAUCCCUCAUAUGUUCCUUCGAUAUUCCAAAAUACCCUGCAGUUGUUAGUAUUUUGAUUUAAAACAAGUGAUUUAAAACUUCUUUAUAUGCUNGAGGCAUACGCAUUUAUUUAUUGCUUACAUAAAUAUUUGUGGAUAUCUGUUGCACUAACAUGAUUGCAGUGCCUUCUUUGGACCUGGUGGGUUGAGCUUCUCCCUUGGGUGGCCGUACCCACUGGAAACUAUGGACAAUAGUUCUCACCCCACGUUGUUUCGGGGGAUUUCAGGUUCACACGUGAGCGGCGCGGCGGCGCGAGAAAAAGGCGUAGCUCCGUAGAUAGCGCCCUACCACCGAGACCAGAGAUAGCGGUACCCCAGUCGGCUUAGCUAGGGUAUAGAAAAUGAAAGAAACAAACUUGUAAUAAUUCGAAAUCAGUGAUUGUAUUUGGAAGAAAAAUGUAGUAUGUAAACUGUGAUGAAUGCUUGUAAUAGUAUAGAUGUAAUUAUAUUUUUAAUACUUCCUUAUGCAAUCUUUGCUUGAAUACUAUUCUUGGUUGGAACCUCAUGUAUUGUAUUGAUUGCGACGCAUUGGACGUACAGGGGAAACUCUGUCCGCGGUACAGAAAAAACCCUGUCCAUUCAGCGGCUGUUGGCGGCCCAAACCCGACCAAAUAGGCGGGGCCGCGGGCUCUGACACGAAGUCUCAAGUUCGAAACCUAGUUGCUUUAUAUUUUCAGCUAAGUACAAAGCAAGUAGUAUGCUACCUUUUUUCUAAAAAAUAAAUGUUACAGUAUUUGUGCUAUAUUAUCUAUUCCUACACAUUAUUUCUCCAAAAGUUGCCACAUAGCAACUUUCCCUUCAUAGUUGAAUGUGGGCUUCACCUCGAACUAGUUCAAGUCCUUCCUCUUCCUUUUUCUUCGGCUGUUACUUUCGUUCAUCGGCAAGAUGAAUCCCACCUCUCAUCAUCCAUUUUUUUAUCGUUAUUUUUUCUUUUUUUAUCGAUGUUUUCUAUUUUUUAAUUUCUCUAAUUAGCUACUCGUCGCAUCGCACGAGUUACUACGUUAUUUGUACAUAAUUGUACUUAUCUAUACCUAUACAUUAAUCCCCAAAAGAAAUGCCACAUGACUGUGUUUUCUUCACUGUUGGCUUUCACCUUAUUAAACCAACUCUUCGCUACGCACAUAACGUCAAAUUAACGAGUCCACCCAACUUAACCAUAUCUAAACCGUAAACUUAGAAACCCACACAAAAAGCCCAACCCUUCGUCUUUCCUUCACAUAUAAUGUUUAAUUAAUGCGUCCACCCACCCUAACCCUAAUAUAAUCGUAAACCAUACAAACUCACAUAAAAGCCCCUUUUCUCCUAUGCAUGUCAUAAAAAUAAAAGCCUACUCAUUUUUUAUAAUAAAUUAUGACCUCCUUCAUUUGGCAAAAGGUGUGGCAUACAUUUACUUUUUUCUUUUUUUUUUUUGUUAACUCCUAAUUUUGGUGUUUUUUCCAAAUCCUUUUACAAGGUUUCAAACACACCCUUUGUGAAAUUGAUACCACUUCCCAUAGAACGGAGACUUGCGGGAUGAAAAUUUUGUGGGAAGACAGUUCUAAAAUGUCCAAUAUAAAAAUUUAAAUCUUGAUACCUUUUUAUUAAAAGACUUUCUAUAUAGUAUAGCUUGUAUUUAUAAAUUAGAAAUAGAAUUUUAUUAUUUUAAAAAUUAUUAUCAAUUCCAUUAAAAAGUUGAAAAAUAAAUAGCUGAAAGCUUUUACAAUAUUUAAUCAUAUAUUUCUCCAGUAGAAUUUUCAGCAUAUAUUUAUAGCAUUGGAGGGAAAGGGUCGAAACUAUUUUUAGAUUUUUUUAAAACAUUUUUAAGAAUAAAAGUGAUGCUUUUAGCCACUUCAUUAUCAAUUUCGAAACGAAGCCGCAACUAAUUUUAUUUGAUUAAGAUUUCUUAAUUUUUUAAAUGUGAAUAAAUUCAACUGCAUGCAUCUCCAACUACACUAUACUUGUAAUUACAUCUAAUCAAACGGUCCGUUAUUGUCACAAAUAUUUCUAUUUAUGCCUAUAAUUCUGCCGGACAUCCUUUGUGUGUUAUUCAUAUUCAUUACAAAAAAAUAAUUAUUUAGAAUGAUAUCUACAGCAUUUUCUUUGGUCACAAAAUAUUUAAAUAUAUAACAACAUAAUUAAGUUGUGACAAAUGAUCAUUAGAAAAGCAAAAUACACUAUUCAAUUUUAGUCUUAUUUUUAUAUUUAGUUGUUAGAAAGAAAAAUAAUCAUUACAAUCCACAGUAAUAGAAUACCAUUACCAAGUACAUUAGCAAAAUUAUACUCUAAUAAAUGCAUCUCAAAAUUAGAAGACCCAACAUUACAAAAUUUUUAUAUAGCACCCGAGGAUUUUAUAGUUCAUGAACAUAGAGGAUCAUCCCAAUUUUUACAAAACAAAAAUUCUCACACUUGAGAUUUGGCAGUAUUGUAGGUCAUGAAAUAAACUUUCUAUAUUAUUUAGCAUGAUAAACCAAUGUUUUAGAGAUAAAAUUGGAUGAAAGUGAAAUUUGCAUCUUGAAAUCUACUUCCGAUUUUGGACUGAAAUUUUAUGUUAACAUUUUAAUUUUUUAUUCAACUUCUAAAUUUAAAUUUAAAUUUUAAAAUUUAUAUUUCAACUAAUAAAUUUUAAACUUUGAAUUUAAUUUUAAAAUUUAAAUUUAUAUUUAAAAUUUCAAUUUUUAAAAUAUAAAUUUUAAAUUUUUAUUUAAAAUUGAAAGUCAAAAUAUUAAAUAUUAAAUAUUAAAAAUCUAAAAUUUUAAAUUUUAAAUUUAUAUUGUACAUUCAAAUAUCAAAUUUUAAAUUUUGUUACAAAUUUUAAAUUUUAAAAAUAAAAUUUCAAAUUAAAAUUCAGCAAAAAUAAUUAUUAUUUGCAAAUGGCACAAAAGAUUUUCUAAACAGUUUUUUAAAAUUACUUUAGAAAAAUUGAUUUUCUAUUAGACUCAGCCGAUCAUUCGACAACUUUUAACCAAAACUAAUUCUCCAAAUCAAAAUCGUUAAGCAAAAAUCACUUUUAUAGAAUCAAAGCCAAACAGCCUUAUAUAUUGCCAAGAAUAAUAUUUAUUGAUUUUAGUGUGACACCACUAUUUACCAAAUCCUUUCAAGCCAUACAUUACAAGGCUGCCAAGAAUAAUAUUUAUACAUUUUGAAACUCGUUGGGUCCAAACCAUCAGCCUAAAAUGUUUAAGUUUAGUUAUUAUGUCUAUCCAAUCAAGCUUAUAUACUUCUACAUCUAGUCAUAACUAUCUGAUGUGAGAAUAUUAGGGUGCCACAUGUACACUGCAAGAAAAUACUGAAACUUUACAAAGCAUCAUCAUAUAUUUGGCAUAUGCUAAUAAUUCUCCUAAUUUCAGUACACUUUUACUACAAAUAGAGUUUGUAUAUGCGAUCUUUUCUGAGUAGAGCUUUUCUCUUUAUUUCUGCCUUUGUUGUUUUCUUAAUCUUGUAGCGUCUUUGGGCUUGAUUGAAGUACCUACAUUUUCGCGCCCAUGCCCAACUAAAGAAAGCUUCGGCCUUUCCCCCCUCCCCCAAACUGCCUUCCCAUUCCCUCUCGCUCUCCUCAAUACCUGCAUUAGUUAGUAACAUCUCUUUUUCCCCUUCAUAACUUCUAGUUUUAUAUCGACCGUCCCUAGCGCAAGUGACAAAGGUUUGGUAAUUGAUAUCCGAGGUCGCGAGUUCGAAUCCUAAUUGAUUCACAUUUUCAGCUAAGUUUAUUAAACGAAGCGGGUAGCAUGCUCUCUCUCACUUUCUCUCUCUCUCUCUAAUAAUAAAAAAUAAAAAAAAAAAAAAAAAAAACUUCUAGUUCUAUCGCGCCGAACAACUCUCCUUCCAUGCUAGUCGAUCAUCUUUGGUCCUAUCCUCCUUUCUGCUGCUAUUAUUUUCUUCGUCUUCUUUCUAUGGUGGUGUUGUGCGGGAAUUCAAACACUGUACCUAUCCGUGCUAUCCAAGUUCUUUAAGUACUGCCUUUUUCGUCGCAAUUCUUUUCCUUGGCAGUUCAAGUCAUAUUUUCGGUCUUGCGUAGAUUUUGUAUUCCCUCGUGAUCGCAGUCGCCGUCCUCUCGUUGCGGCCCGGUGUGCACCUGCCAAUGUCGAUGCUGAGGAAAACGCUAUCGUGCCUGACAUCGACUCCCAAGACGUUGACUCUGAUGACGCCAUUGCUGCUGCUGAGAUCGAGCUUGCGGUUGUCUAGCCGUAGGAAGAUUCUCAUAAAAAUAUUGGUAGGUUAUACUGAUCCAUCUACAUUCGUUUUCUCUUAACAUCUUUAUUGCAUUGCUUAAUUAUGACUGUUAUUUAUGUGCAUGUAUGGUUAAGAACAUGCAUUAAUCAUAUUUAUAUAGAAUGAAAAAUUGAGAUUUUGGAAAUGAGGAGCCAGAUUAGUUUUAGUUUUCAGAUUGAAGUUUCACUCUAUAUAUAUACUAAUUAAACUUGCUGUUGAUAGUAUAAAAAAUUUUCUUUGAAAAUUUUUUCAAAUUAGAAUAGUUUUACGUAAUUAAACUUGCAAAUGGCACAUAUCAAUCAUCAAUCAUUAAACUUUAUUGAUUUUGAACCCGUUUGGUCAUUAGGUAAAUGAUAUCGAAAAAUCGUAAAAUUUAUUUCUUAGAUACUUCAAAUACGUUAGAUCAGAUCUAAUGGAGCUGAUCGUCGAUUCGAAAGUUUAAGCAUAAAAAACGGUUUAGGAGUACAGAGGUCUUAGUGCUCUAAUAGCGCGCACACAAGUCAAGUCAUACUUAUAUAUAUACUAAUUAUAUUGCACGUGCGAUGCACGUCACAUUUAAUUAAAUUAAAUUUAUAUUUAUAUUUUAAAUAAUUAUUGGUGGUAUAAGUCUAUUUGUCAAUUAAUUUUUUUUCUAACUUUAAUUUUUUUAAUGUGUAUCCAAAUUUUAAAAAUUGAAGUAAUUCUAAAUUUUAAAUUAAAGAAUUCAUAUUUAAAUUUAUGAACAAAACUCAAAAUUUGAAGUUAAUUUUGAAUCCAUAAUUUGAAUUUAAAUGGUUAUUAGAGACAUUGAUUUAUUUAUCAUCCCAUCUAUUUUUCAAAUUUGAUAUAUUUUCAAGUUAAUUAAUUAUUUUCGAUUUGAAAUACUGUUUACACACUCAAAUAUUAAAAUUUUAAUUAAUUUCAAAUUUUGAAUUAAAAUAUAAAUUUAUAUUUGAAAUUAUGAACCAAAUUUAAAAUUUAAAGUUGAUUUUAUUUCAAACCUAAUUUCUAUUGAGAGAUAUUAAUUGGAUACUAAAUAUUUUCAAUGUGUGUUGCGUAGAGAUUUUCGUUUUUUUUAUGAGUAUGGAAUAUUCUUUUAUGGGGCGUUUGUGAAAAAUAUUCAACAGCAGAUAUCCUUCGGUUGACAGAAAUUUGGAUAAGCAUGAAUUUUUAUAUUCUCGUAAAUGAAAUGCAAUACUUUUUCCUACUAAAAAAAGAUCUGUCAACAACUAUUUUAAUUAUUAUCUCAAAUCAAUGUAAAUUUGUAAAUCACAUUUAUUACAAAUUUAAAAUUUUAAAUUGUAAAUUCAUAUGUUAUAUUUUAUUGGAAAAUAUCUCAUAUUUUAAAUAUUAGUAGAUAAAAUUAAGAUAAUUUUUAUAUAUUCACCUUUUAAAAAAUAAUUAAAUAUUAUAUGUGGAAGGUAUUACAUGAUUGGAUAUUAUAUAGGCGACAGGUUUUACAUGUGAGAAAGUGUGAGACCCCAGAUAGUCCUAUAUAUAAGAUAUAAUAGGGCUAAACUCUUAACCCGGCUUAAGUAUUUUGGGUGAUGGCAAGGCCCAAGAGGUUAAGAGAGUUAAGCGUGCUAGGACGGGAGUAGUCCUAGGAUGGGUGACCCCUUGGGAAGUCGGGGCGUCACAGAAAGAGAAUAUUUAAGAAAUAUGUAGAUUGCAAAUAUUAUUUGUGAUAAAAUACGAUAUUAUAUGGACGACGGUUAUUAGAAGAUAGGGUACGUAGAUAAAAAAAUAAAAUUUGAUACGCACUAUUUGAGGGCAAUUUAAAUAAAAAAAAUGACAGAUACUUAAUUUGUCAGCCAUUGUAUUAGAUCCAAUGACUAAAAUUAAUAUAUUUUAUGGUAAUUCAAAAAUAAAAUAAAAGUUAUUCCAUUAAAGUUGAAUAAAUGAUAUUUCCAGUAUAUGAUUGGAAUUAUAUUAAUAGGUACCGGCAUUUUGGAAUUUUAUAUAUAUAUAUAUAGAACUAGGCUGGAAUACUAUCAAUAGUACCAAGCUAUUGGUGCUAUUAAUUUUUUAGCCUUUGGAUUGAGAAAUGUUUGGUUAGGAUGAUGUGGGUCCCCUAGGGUUAAGUGAGUGGUUGGUUGAAUAGUAUAAUCUAAUGGAUUAGAAUAAUCAAAGGGGUAAAUCUAACGGUAGAAAAUUGGAUAUCACCAAAUUCUUGAUGCUAUCGAUAGUAUCCCAGUCGGACUCUCUCUCUCUCUAUAUAUAAUGUAAAAAAUAUUUUAAUAAGUAUUUCAAAUUAAUAUAAAUUUUAUACAUUAUAUUUAUUCAAAAAUUUACAAUAUAAAAUUUAAAUUUAAAAAAGUAAAUUCAUUUAUUAUAUACUAUUAUAAAGUAUCUGUCACAUUAUAACUCAAAUUUAAAUAAUUGUCGCCAACAAUAAUUAUAUAGUUUUACUUUUUAUAUUAUAAAAUUUAUAUAUAGUGUAGAUAUAGAUAUACAUUAAAUAUUUUUUUAUAUUUUUUAAUUUUGACAAAUUUAAAAUUAAUAUAUAUUAUAAACUAAAAGUAUAAAAUUUUAAAAAGUUAAUAUAACAAUAAAAUAUUAGUAGAUAGGAGGUAAUAUAUAAAUAUUUAUCUUAAAAAGAAAAGAUAUUGAAUGAUAAAAAUAUUAAAUAAAAAGAUAAAAUAUUAGUAGUUGGAGAAAAAAGAGGAACUAUCGUUAUGUUAUUUAUUUUGUGUACGAAAAAAAAGGAAUUUUGAAGUAGGUCUGUCGACAGACCGAAAUUUGAAAUACGUGCUUUUAUAUAUAGUAUAGAUAUAUAUAUAGGUUAGGGCUACUAUAUUCUUAUGAGUAUAGAGCCAUUUGUACUAAUAAGUUUUCGGCCGUUGGAUAAAGGGAUGUGCAGUUAGGAUGAUAGUAAUCCUCGAUUUAGGAUGAUAGUGUGACACCCCAACUUUCUAGGGCGUCACCCAUCUUAGGACCACUCCCGUCCUAGCACGCAUAACUCUUUUAACCUCUCGGGUCUAGCCACCGCCCAAAAUGUUUAAGCCGGGUUAAAAGUUUUAGCCCUAUUAUAUCUUAUAUAUAGGACUAUCUGGGGUCUCACAGAUAGUGGUCCCCUAGGGUUGAGUAGGUGAUUGGUUGAAUAGUAUGAUCUAACGGAUGAAAAUGGUCAAAUGUAUAGAUCUAACAGGCGAAGACUUAUGAGUACAAAGGAACCUAUACUCAUAAGAGUAUAGUAGCUGUACUCUAUAUUUAUAUAUGUAUGUAUGUAUAUGUGUGUGUGGAAUUGAGUUCCUAUGCUUUUAAAAGUACCAAGUUAUUGGUGCUUGUAGGUUUUCGGCCUUUGGAUUAAGGGAUGUGUGGCUAGGAUGAUAGUGGUCCUCCUAGGGUUGAGUGGGUGGUUGGUUAAAUAGUACGAUCUAAUGGAUGGAAAUAGUCGAAGAAGUAGAUUUAACAGCGGAAAACUUACAAGCACCAAGUGCUUUGUGCUUUUACAAGCACCAUAGCCAGCCUCUAUGUGUGUGUGUAUAUAUAUGUAUAUAUGUAUAUGUAUAUACUUGUGUAUGUAUGUAUAUGUAUAUACAUAUAUAUAUAUAUAUAUAUAUNUUAAAUUUUAAAAAGUUAAUAUAACAAUAAAAUAUUAGUAGAUAGGAGGUAAUAUAUAAAUAUUUAUCUUAAAAAGAAAAGAUAUUGAAUGAUAAAGUUAUUUCGUAAACAAAUAAAAUAUUACUAGUUGGAGCAAAAAAAAACUAAAAGUUUGUUUUGUUAAUGAAUACGUAACGAUAUUUAUAUUCUUUUUUUUUUCUCUAACGGAGAACUUUAAAUAAAAAUAUUUAAAUAUUUAUCUUAAAAAGAAAAGAUAUUGAAUGAUAAGAAUAUUUAGUAAAAAGAUAAAAUAUUAAUAGUUGGAGGAAAAAAAAAAACUAAAAGUUUGUUUUGUUAAUGAAUACGUAAUGAUAUUUAUUUUCUCCUUUUUUUUCUCUAACGGAAAACUUUAAAUAAUUAAAUAUUUAUCUUAAAAAAAAUUAUUGAAUGAUAAAAAUAUUUAGUAAAAAGAUAAAAUAUUAAUAGUUGGAGGGAAAAAAAAAACUAAAAGUUUAUUUUUUUAAUGAAUACGUAAUGAUAUUUAAAUUCUCCUUUUUUUUCCUCUAACGUAGAACUUUUCUCUAAUAGAUAAUCUCAAAUAGAAAUAUAAAAAUGAAAACAAAAAUUGUCGGGAAUAAAUAUAUAAUAAUAUUUAAAUUUCUCUUUUUUUUAUCUUUUCUUUUUAACUAAGCAUUAAAAUACGUGCUGGAGCAUAAAAUUCAUAAAAUCGAUAUUCACUUGAUCAAAUGUGGAUCAAAAUUAAAUUUUAAAUUUGAGUUAGAAUAUGACAUAUAUUAUCUACCAUCCUCGUUCCUAUUCUUAUCCUUUUUCUUUUUUUUUUUGAGAGAUAGGUAGCACGCUACACGCUUAGUUUAUUUCAUUUAGAAAUAAACUUAGCUGAAAAUGUGAAUCAACCAAGAUUCGAACUUGGAACCUCGGAUACCAACCACCAAGCCUUUUGCCACUUGCUCUAGGGACGGUCAGUUGACAAACCAAAAUUUAAAAUAUAUGCUUUUAUAUAUUGUAAUAGUUUAUAGAUAUUUAGACUUUUGAAAUAGGUUUGUUGACAAACUGAAAUUUAAAAUAAUUUAUGUUUUAUUACUUAUUUGAAAAGAAAGAUAUUUUUAAAUUAAAUAGGAAAAUAAUUUUUUCCCACCCCACCCUUAGAGAAAAAAUUAAAUUAAAGUUUGUUUGUUAUGUAUCAUUCAUUAUGUAUUCAUUUCUAUCGGUUCCUAUUCUUAUUCUUACGUAUUAAUUUCCAACGGUUCUUUUUCUUAUCCUUAUAUUUGAAUUUUUAAAAUAAGUCUAUCGACAGACCGAAACUUAAAAUAUGUGUUUAUAUAUAUAUAUAUAUAUAUAUAGAAUUAGGCUAAUAUACUAUUAAUAGCACCAAGUUAUUGGUACUACCAAGUUUUCGGCCAUUGGAUUAAAAAAUGUGCGAUUAGGAUAAUGUGGGCCCUCUAGGGUUCAGUGGGUGGUUGGUUGAAUAGUAUGAUCUAAUGGGUAAAAAUGAUCAAAAGGAUAGAUCUAAUGGCAGAAAACUUAAUAGCACUAAGUGUUUCGUGCUAUUAAUAGCAUAGUAGCCGGACUCUAUAUAUAUAUAUAUAUAUAUGAGUCCGGCUACUAUGCUAUUAAUAGCAUGAAACACUUGGUGCUACCAAGUUUUCCGCCUUUAAAUCUACCCUUUUGAUCAUUUUCACCCGUUAGAUCAUACUAUUCAACUAAUCACCUACUCAACCCUUGGGGGCCCACAUCAUCCUAACCGCACAUCUCUUAAUCCAAUGGCUAAAAACUUGGUAGUACCAAUGACUUAGUGCUAUUAAUAGUAUAUUAGCCUAGUUCUAUAUAUAUAUAUAUGUCACGCUCCGGAUAACUCGUUUUCCGGGCACGCCGACAAAUCCGCCGUAUACAAAGAAAUUUUUCUCAGUAUACGAAGCGUAGCUGUAUAUGUAAAACAUACAAUACUACAAAAACAGUAGUAUAGAGCUGCUAUGAAACUAAACAGGUAGAACAAAAAAACAGGUUCCAUAUACAUACAUAAUAUCAUGGUACAAAAAGUACUCGCUCCAGCGAGUUAAAACAUCUGUAUGUACAUGAACUCAAAAAGAUAAAGUAUCACUACCUGCAGCACAGGAUCCUCUAUCUCGGCAACUCAUCGGGUAGGGCUCUAGCUCGCAACGUCCUUGCCACGAUCAGCCUCAGAAGGUGCAGCAGCCGGAACCGAUGGCUCUGCAAAAGAAGGGUAACAACUGGAUGUGAGAACUACUGUAAAAAUAAGUAGUCCUCAGUGGGUGCUGCCCUGAACAUCAUCGGUCCACCCACUAAGUCUAUAGAAGCAAGAAAGCUAGUAGGAAAAGCUAGAAAGAAAUCUAAGCUACAUGUUGCUACACUAGCAUGCUCUACCCUACCAAUUGUAGUAAAAGUCACUGACUAUCUCACCCGGGCUGCCCAACUGGGCCCACCCUGCCUGUCUCCAACUACGCCGUACACCACCUCGAGAGUGGCCGGCUCAAAAACUGUCCAACAGAAAUUGCGACACUCAUCGCACUGAAACCUCAUUCCGGAAUGACAUUCGCGGGUGCGACCCACGAGUUACAAGUGUCUCUGUCAUUUCAUUCUUGCUCUCACAGGUUCGGCCAAGUAAAUAGGGUCUAACUGGACUACCAACCAACUAGUUACGUGCCCUCGGCAUAAUCUGAUACCAAAAUGACAAAUCUAGGUCCGCCGUCAACCACUACGGCACCCACUAGUCCGGAACAAUGUAAACACUGUUGUAAAAAUAGGCUCGGCAUCCCAGCACAAGCGUAACAGUAAUCUAAACUAUCUGGGGUACUCACCACAAGGAUACUGCGAUAGUACAAAAUACAACGCCUCCUAGAGCUAAAUCAGGUAGUUUAAACAUAUGACAGGUCCCGAACGUUGGUUUUCUCCUAUGUCAUAUUUCAGUCCAACAUGUAUAAUUAUUAACACUUAAUAACAUGCUCCAAAUUCAAUUCUUAUGUCUAAAACAUGCAUAACUAUGAAUUUGAGCUAAAAAUAAUAACGAUGAAUAUACAUUAAUUAUACAUAUCGACCAACGGAGCUAUAAGAGUAGAAAACUGAUGAUAAACCCAUCUCAAAAGCUAAAUGCAAUCCGGUGCGACGUCGAGAACGGCAAAAACGCACCCUCGCCUGGCUUCCUCGCGAUGCUACGAUGACGAACAUACGCUCAAACGGUACCGCGGCGCGACGUCGGCGACACACGAGCUCCAACUGGAUUCUCGUUCUCCUUGCGUACGGUCAAGUAUAGGAGAGAAAUAAAAACAUGCACACUCAGUUAAUUGAGAGGAUAAACAUGAAAGGAUACGUGGCAUCCUUAUCACAACUAAAAGACCACCAUGCCCCCCAUACCAACUCAAAGAGAGAAAUAAAUAAUAAUAAUAAAAAACAAAAGUAAAUCAAAGAAUACUACAAUAUAUAUAUAUAUAGUUGAGCUAUGAUACUUUUACAAGUAUCACCAUCAUGGUGCUAUUAGGUUUUAAGCCAUUGGAUCUACUUUUUGAUUAUUAAUAGCUCUUGGAUUAAACACUAUUCCACCUAUCACCAUCUACCACCACCUACCACCAUCAUCUCAACCUCACAUCUCUCCAUCCAAGGGCUAAAAACGCACAAAUAUCACCCCCAUGAUACUUUUACAAGUAUUCUAGCCCUACUCUAUAUAUAUAUAUAUAUAGUAGGGCUGCUAUACUCUUAUGAGUACGUAUUAGGUCUUUCGUACUCAUAAGUUGUUUUCGAUGAUGGAGCUUUCGAAUCGAUGAUCCACUCUGUUAAAUAUAGUGUCAGUUGAGUGGUGUUUGUCUAAUAGAUAUACGGUGAAAUGAAUCAAAGGUAAUCUAACGGUAGAAAACUCAAUAUACAAGGUGCUGUAACAAUUGAUAAUAGUACGACUAUAUAUAUAUUAAUAUAUAUAUAAUAUAUAAGUAAUAUAUAUAUUAUAAAUAAUAUAAUAAUAAAAAUUCUCUUUCUAGGAAAGAGGUCUAAUGAAGAUAUUUGUUCGUGGUCUGGAUUCAAGUGUUACUGUCGACCAUCUAAAGCAAGUUUUUAGUCCAUAUGGAGAACUGGUUUAUGUGAAGAUAGCUGUAGGCAAGAGAUGUGGGUUUGUGCAAUUUGCCAAGAGGUUUGCCCUUUUUCACAUUUUCAAACUUAAAUUUUACCCUUAUUUGGUGAUAAUUUAAUCAUGUUUGUUUGACCAGUUUUUAUAGGAUAUUUUGCAUCUUUUUUGUGCUAAAAUAUGUUUAUAGUUUCUGUUCUAUGUCGGCUUUUCAAAUAUUUGAGUUCUUCUAUAAUUCUUGUACUAACUGACAUAAAUAAAUUCUAAUAGAAAUGCAACUUCCUGCAUGAACAUGAUGACUCCCCAGCAUGUACUUUUGUGCAUUGCUGAACAUGUUUUAGAACUGAACAGAUUUUGAAUAUUGAGAUGUAAUUGUACUAUUAUAUAUGAUAUAACUUUUGUGCAUUGCUUCAUACGAUCUAGAACUGAACAGAUUGUGGAUAUGGGGACUUACUGCUACUAUUAUGACAUAUAAACUAGUUGACACUAUGAUUGUGCGGAGGGCAUUAGGAUAAUUACUUGUAAUCUUUUUUAUCAUUGUAUAGAUUAUAGUCUAUAAAGGCACGUUGAGCUUGAUAGAGAUAUACUAUGAUACUCAUUGAGGGUCGUUCCCCUUCGAGCGCUGCUCUGGAGUGCUUGCUUUGUUAAGAAUAUACAUUUUUUUGAACUUAGGUUGAGUCAAAUUAAUUAACCCAUCAAGUUAGUUCAUAGAAGAUGGUAUAGACUACGAAUCAAUCCAAUACAUCAAUUGGUUUUAAGUUUAUUACUAUUGAUGCAAGAUAUACAUGUCUAAGUCUAAUUAACAUUGUUGACUUGUUGACCGGCUAAUGCACGUGUGUGUGUGUGUGUGUAGAGGUGCAUGCCUGCAUGCCCUGAAAACCGUAUGGAUGUCGCGUGUGGGAAAAUUAAUUAGCGUCUUCAGCUAAUUAAUUCACGGCGUCCCGAUGACCGUACGACAGUAGAAGAGAGGCAACCUCACAUGCGACGUCUGGAUCGGAGUCGGCGGCGGAGCAGAGGUUCUCGACCAAUUGCCUGAGCGGUUUGGAUUCUUCGAAGCAACGACAUAAAAGAUUUUGGUUAGAAUUUUUAUACUUCUCUGAUUUAUUUUUCUCGAUUUUACAAAAAAAAAUUUUCGGUAUUUUCUUGGAAUUAUUUUUAGACUAGUGUUUCUUACGCGGUAUCCUAGAAUUGGACAUUUUGGUCCGUGCAUUGCAUCCAAGGAUGUUGCCAAUAACCGAUGCAUAGUUUAUCCAUGUGCUGCAUUCACAUUCAUCUGUUAGCUAGGCCGAUAAUUUAACCAUUCAAGUAACUUCGAAAUGUAGAAAAGAUUCAAUUAUUUUUCGUUAUUGCUUAUAUUAGAUUGUAAGAUUUUAUACAAACUGAUUGACUUUUUUUGAGAGAAUAUACAAACUGAUGGACUUGUGGUGCAAAUAUAUAUGAACCUGGUGCAAGCUACAAUUUAGUUGCAAAUAAUUUACUGUAGCUAAAGGUGACAAUGUAUGGAAGCCCAUGAACUUUGCGCGAUUCUGAAACUAAUCCCACAAGCCAGAACUAAUUUUCUUUGAUUAAGAUGUUUUAAUUUUUUUAAAUGUGAAUAAAUCCAUAGUUAACUUAAACAUUAUUAGAUUUAUAACUUUAUUAGUUAUUAAUUCUUAAUUGGUCUGAUUUUAUUUGCUAAAAAUGAUUGCAGUCAUUUCAUUUGAUGAAAUGACCAAUAAAUAUAUAUGACAAAGUACUAAUUCUCAAUUAUUUUUUACUUGAUAAAACUAAAUAGUUAUUGACACUUUUAGUAACUAAUGAAAUUCACAAGUGAUAUAGUAGAAUAUAUGCAGAGUAAAGCCAUUAGUCUUUUUUAUGUCCAAUUUAAUAUAAUAUAUAUGUCAAAUUCAGAUAGUUAAAAAUUACAUAAAAUUAAUAGAAAAAUAAUUUAUUUAAAACCGACACAUAGUUGAGGGGGUUUGCGUGCAUCAAUAUUUGGGCCGAAUUUGCCUGUGGGCUAGAUAGAGUAAUAUAUUCAUGUGGAUUUUAUUUGAUUUGGAUCCAAAUCUGCAUGUGGGCUGAGACGGGUUUUGGGUUUUAAUGUUCUAGGGCCGAAUCUGUAUGUGGGCUGGAUUUUUAUUGAUUUUGAAUCCAAAUCUGCAUGUGGGCUAGAUUUCGGGCUCUACAGGUUGUGGGCCCGAAUUUGCAUGUGGGCUUGGCAUGUGGGCUUGGUGUUUUUUUUUUUUUUUUUUUUGACUGCUUAUGGAAUUUUUUUUAUUAGACCCAUGAUAGAUUGAACNUUUUUUUUGACUGCUUAUGGAAUUUGUUCAUUGGGCCCAUAAGUAAGCGAUGGAUUGAACCAUUUUCGAUUAAAUAGUUCCAAACCCAUUUUCUCAAAUUUUUUUUGUUUCUUUUUUUUUGUUCUUUUUUUUUUUUGACUGAGGGAGAGGGAACAACUCUUUUUUUUUUUCUUUUGUAUUUGUUGUUUUUUUUUCUUUUCUUUUCUUUUCUUUUUUUUUUUGGGAUAAUUGCCUAUAUACCCCUCAUGCGUCUGGAAAUAUCCGAUCUACCGCUAUUUUUUUUCUUUCUAAAAUGCCUCUUAUAUGUUCCACCGUUAUUCCAAAAUACCCCUGCAGUUAACCCCUGUUAGCUUAACUCAGGUUAAACAUGGGUUAAAUGUAUAUUAGAGUUAAAACCUAUAUAAAAUACCUAUUUUACCCCUACCUUAUUAUGCUAAUGUCUUAAGGUAUCCUCUUUCUCUCCCAACUUGAUCGUCGGGUCCUCCGCCUCCACCUCGCCGGUUCCUCCGCCUCUACCUCGCCUCAUCUCCUCCCAAACCACAGGCGAGGAUGACGCCCGCCGCCUCCCAGACCAUGGGCGGGGAGCUGCGGCGGCGCGGCGGAGGAGGAGGAGGGGUGCCGCGAAGACGCGGCGACGCUGCGGCAGAAGCUGGCGGCGAUGGCGGCGAUCCUGGUGGCGUGGAUAGUGGGCGUGGCGAUCCCGCUGGCGACGGAGGAGGAGGAGGGGUGCCGCGAAGACGCGGCGACGCUGCGGCAGAAGCUGGCGGCGAUGGCGGCGAUCCUGGUGGCGUGGAUAGUGGGCGUGGCGAUCCCGCUGGCGACGGAGGAGGAGGAGGGGUGCCGCGAAGACGCGGCGACGCUGCGGCAGAAGCUGGCGGCGAUGGCGGCGAUCCUGGUGGCGUGGAUAGUGGGCGUGGCGAUCCCGCUGGCGACGGAGGAGGAGGAGGGGUGCCCCGACGACACGGCGGCGCUGCGGCUGAAGCUGGCGGCGAUGGCUGCGGGGAUGGUGGGCAUGGUGAUCCCGCUAGUGGCAGGGCGGAAGCGGCGGCGCCUUCUGAGCACGGAGAGCAGCUUCUUCGCCCUCACCAAGGCCUUCGCCGCGGGUGUCAUCCUCUCCACGGGCUUCGUCCACAUGCUCCACGACGCCGAGGCCGCGCUCACCGACCCCUGCCUCCCCGGCUUCCUCUGGCGUCGCUUUCCCUUCUCCGACUUCGUUGGCAUGGCCGCCGCCCUCGCCACCCUCGUUCUUGACUUCCUCGCCACCCAAUUCUACGAGCGCGGCGGAGGACGACGAGGAGCGCUCCAUCAUCACAGUGGCGCCGGAGCCACCCGUGGAUGAGGACGAGGACGAGGGCUCCGCCAAGGGCGGCGACGCGGUGCACAUCGUCGGGAAGCGCGCGCACGCGGCGGCGCACAGCCACAACCACCACCAGGUGUAUAUUAGAAAGACUUGGAACAUAAAAAGGGUAUAUUGGAACGGACAAAAUGAUAAUUUUUCAGAGAUAACGACAGCUCACUAACGGAACUUAACUCUAGGGGUAUAUUAGAAAGACUUGGAACAUAAGAAGGGUAUUUUCAAUAUUAGCCUUCUAAGAGGGGUAAAUAAGAAAACCGAAAACUUUUCAGGGGUAUAUAGGCAAUUGCCCUUUUUUUUUUGUUGGUUUUUCAGGGGUAUAUAGGCAAUUGCCCUCUUUUUUUUGUUGGUUCUUCUUUUCUUUUUUCUUCUUCUUCUUUUUUUUUUGUUGACUGCGAGAUUUAUUUUAUAUAUAUAUACCUUUCAAAAGCAAUAUCAUAGAUAAUACAAGCCAAACUUUUAAAAUUGCAAUAUCUAUUUGGAAAAUUUGUAUUCACUUUCGAAUUAUUUUAAAAGUAGAUGGUGCCAACAUUCAUUAAUUAUACAAAGACUCAUUACAUGUAAAAUUCAGCCAUUAGAUUAAAGUCUAAUGGAUAAAACUUUAUAAAUUUAUUUUUUAUAUAUAUCCAAUCUAAUCCAUCUAAGUUAUUGUUUGUUGGCCAGCUCGUGUUCGGCUUUCGGCUCGAUACUUUAACAAGCCAAUUAAACGAGCCGAACACGAGACAGCCCCAACUUGCUCAUGUUCGGCUCGUUGACACCCCUACUUCGAAUACACUAGAUCAAAAUUUAUUGAUAAUCGAUUAAGAAUCCCGACCAUCAGAAACCACUUGAAGCGGUUCGAAAUCCACUUACAUGUAUAUAUAGUGGCUAAUUUUUGGAAAAUAACUAACCCCCUAACUUUGAAAUUAAAAUUCAGCUUGAGUUUAAACUUUAUAUUUAUAAUAAUAGUACUAUAAAUUAAAUUUUAAAUGAGUAAUCUAUUUUAAAUUUGAAUUUAAUUUAUAUUGUACUUAUUAACCCAACUUUUUAUUAUUUUAAAAAAUUUUUCUAUUUUUGAAAAUAAAAUCCAAAUUGUUAAUUCAAUAUUAAAACAACAUUAAAGUUCAAAUAUUAAUCAAAUUAAGUUUUAUAUUGGGAUCUAAUUUAUAUUAUAGUUAUAAACCCAAAUUUAAUUAAUUAUUUAAAUGUAAAGUUUCUAUUUUUAAAUAUUACAUCAAAUUAUAAAUCUGAAUUUAAUUUUCACUAUUAUUAUUUCAAAUUAUCUUUAAAAUUGUUAUUUCCUUGUUAAAUUAAAUAACACAUUAAAUCCAUUCUACAUGGAUUAUGAGCUUGCGUGCGUGCUUUGUGUGGAUUUUUUUUUUGUUAAUUUUAAACUUCUCUCAAAAGGAAAUAUAUUUACGUACAAACGGAGAUACAAUCUUUACCUGCACCUAUUAGAUACUUAGAUCAUUUAUGUUUAAAUACACACUAAUUAGGUUAUAAAAUAUUAAAUUUAAAUAUUUUGGAUAGUUUUCUAACUUAGCUCUCAAUCAAUUUCGUGUUAGGAUACUCAGACUAUAUAAAUUGGAUUGCAAAGAUUCGGCCAGAAAAUAAGAUUACUAGAUUGGGAGAAUUGGAUUUAUUCAUCGUAAAAUUCAAAUUGUCCCCAUGUGCUGUACAUUAUUGUCAUUUUGCCACUCUGUAGUUAAAAAAAUUUCACUUUACCUUUUUGUGAUUUAGCUCAUUUUUAUUUUGUCAUUUCGUGGUUUAAAAAUUUGUACUUUUUCUCCCUAUAAUUUAGAAUAUUUUUCUUUUUCACCAUGUAAAGUAAAGAUUUUAUGAUAAGAUGUAUUACUCAAUAAGUGUAUGGUAGAAUAAUAGAAUUAUAGAAGAAAAUCAAAUAAGAUACAGCUUUGUCGAUUUUGGAUUGAAACACCCACCUAAACAAGUAUCUAAGUCCUCGACUCCAUCGAUCCUCUAGGUAUCACUUGAAUUUAAACAAAAUAACCAAAUACCACAAUCUCUACUAUCAUGUAUUCUAAUAACCGAUGCAUCUAAACCGCACCAACCUGUAUUGUCACGCAAAGUGAAUAUCGGUUCCGCAAACCAACUUCUGAAACUAAGCCUCCGAAACUAAGCCUAAAGGCCAAACAACUUAACGAAAAGUCACAACCACCCUCCCGCUGUCCAAAGACGCACUACUUUAUGUGUCAAAACAGCUACAAGCUUAGUGCUCAACAAAACGGAUAGCGACCAUGGAACUAGGCCACGACAGCUCCACUAUUCGAUUCUUUCAAAAAAUAAUCAUAUUUCAAAACUAACAAUUUGCGCGAUACAUAGUACUUUGAGUGAAUUCAAUAACUUUUAUAACAUCUUACAUAUAAGUAGAAAUGACUGAAAUAAGUUUUUUUUAGCGCACACUACAUUUGUCUACACCCCAAAUGCUCUUCGAAUUAUGAAUUUACAAACCAAUCUAACCAUGCAAAUUCUAAAUAAGGAAAUUAACUUGUAAUAAGAUCACUACAUAUAGAGAUACACACGCAAUAUGAAGACUAUAAUUUAUGCGUUUGGGUUAUGAGAACAAUUUCUAACAUUAAUUGUUGGUAAUAUCAAUAAGGAUUGACUAACAAUUUAGGAAAAAUUGGAUACUACAGUAUAAAUUUUUAAAAUUCAAGUAUUUAUUUGUAAAUAGUUCAUUGCUCAAGCAAUUAUUUUCAUAAAUUUGUGCUUUCCAUCUAUUAACAAACACAUUAAUGGUGUGUCUCACAUGUAUCCGCUAGGUCUCGUAGUUUAUAACAAAACUAAUCGUAUGACAAGAAAGAUUGUAUGCAUCCGAUUUUAAUUUGGAGCAAGAAGAAAUAUGUGAUAACUUUUGUUACGUUAUCUACAAGCAUUAUUGAGGAAAAAAAAAAAAUAAUUCAAAUACCAUCCCUGUGAUUUCACAAUUUCUCACUUUAUUAUUUUUUGAUUUAAAGUGUAUCAUUUUAGUACCGUGUGGUUUUAUUUUUUUUCUUUUUGUUAUCGCAUCCACUAAUUUUUUUCGUUAAAUUAGUGACAAAGUUAAAACUAAAGGGUACUAAAGUCAUUAUUUGAUAAACUAUAGGCGGGUAUCUGAAAUUUUUUGUAUGUGAUUUAACGAAAAGUUAACGGAGGGGCUGACAAAAAGAGAAAAAAGAAACCACGGAGUACUAAAUUGAUACACUUUAAACUAUAGGGUACUAAAGUGAGAAAGUGCGAAACUAUAAUACUGGUAUUUGAAGUUACUGAAAAACAAAAGGAAAUGGAGAAUUUUUCUGACUUUGGAAUAUCUUCUUUUUUUUCCAAUUUGACAUUCAAAUGGGUU
This 85605-nucleotide long non-coding RNA is filed under the name Ananas comosus (pineapple). RNAcentral describes it as "long non-coding RNA (ACOM_LNC006804)". Lineage: Eukaryota; Viridiplantae; Streptophyta; Magnoliopsida; Poales; Bromeliaceae. The record is from RNAcentral.